GUGGUAUUUCUGGAUCCUUACCAAGGCAGUAAUGGUAUAUGCCUUCUCUCAAAGUAUGUAGUAUUUUUGGUAUGGGGCAUAGUGGCAUUGCCUUCUCUCUCACCCUACUCUAAUAAGGUUUUGAUAUCUGGAGCUCAUAGGUGGGAGACAGCUAAUACAUACUUACAAGACAUUUAUUGCAUAGUCAAACCAUGGAUCCAGAAGAACAAGUCAAUAAGUCAAAUCAAGAUGUGCAUGUGUGGCGUAUGAAUGAUGUAUGGUGAUGAUGGUGAUAACAAUGGUGGAAGUCUAAUUCUACUUAUGCUCUUUUGAGGGGAUACAUACCUUUCUUGCUCUUUUGAAACCUUUUGAGGAGAAUGAGAUGCUCUAUAUUUUCUUUUUCUUUUCUCUCAGGUGGGUAUCUUGUACCCCUAAUUCUACUGUCGGACACUUGUCCAUUUUUACCUCUCGUCUCACUUUUUUUUCUCUUUUUUUUUCGAGGUUCCGGGCACUUGCCCCUUUUUAUUUCCUUGUAUCUUUUUUUUUCUUUUUUUAGAGAGCACUCAUCUCUUGAAAUAAUAUAGCAAGUGGUAGUAACAAGAUAACUUGAGCAUUUAUUUCACAGGGGAAAAACAAAAAUAUUUUUGGCUAUUCUCUCCCGGAUUAGGAGUAGAAUAUUUUUGGGUGGUUCUGGAGAUGGAAAUGGAUGGAUAUAUGUGGAUGCGUACUUCCGGAGUAGAAGCAGCAUGUAUGAGUGAACGUGCAAGUGAAUCUUGAUUUAACCACAUGACAAGCUCCUAAGGGUCUACACAGCUUGACCACACUCAAUGCUCAUAAGUAGUAAAUAAUAAAUGUGUGGCUCAAAGUCUAGCAAGCAUGUAUAUAUGGCUGUGGUAGGAAUUUAAACUCUCAUCAUAUAGGAACUCAUCAUGCAACGUUUUAAAGAUUUUCAAAGAUAAAAUUCUCCAGAAUUCUAGCAUCUCUAGGAACAGAUAAACAGCAGCUCAACCUUCCCAUAUCGUAUCCGUUAACGACUUAGACUUUAGAUCAAGUACUCUCCCCACAAGUUCAGGUUUAGAGCAAAUCUUAAUUAAUAACAGUCAUGCCUAAACUUGAGAGAGAUUUCAAUUUUGAGAACUAGUCAUGGCAGAGCAACUAUUCAUGAUUUCCAUGUGAGAGCUUAUCAUGAGGGUUCAUAGCAAACUUUAUUUAUUUAUUUAUUUAGCAAACUAAGCAAAGAUAUAUAUAAGCACAAAAUUUUUAUUUGGGUUUUCAUGAUUAUGCAUCUUUUUAUUAUUUGAGUAAAGUAUAAAUGCGAGUAGAAACACUUAGCUGGAUAAAUGGGGGUGCUCUCCCCCAAGCUGGAUUUUGACAUAAUUUCUUUUGAUGUAGCUAGCAGGUGGCGGAGGUGUAUUUGAAUGUCGGCAGCACUCUGACAGCGAUUAGGAUGUCCUCCGUCUGCUAGACUUCUUUGAUCCUUGAAUUCUGUGGAGCUCAAAUAGACAACAAAGCUUUGUGGAACUAGUUAAGUGUUAGCAUAAAUAUUUAGCCUUUAUCAUGUUGAGUCUCCUCAAUAAAUGUUACUCUCUUUAGUAGGAUCACUAUCUUAUUUUUACAAUUUUAUUUUUGUAGGACAGGAAUAUAUUUAUUUCAUUUUUAUGCCAGCACAGUGAAUGUGCUUAUGGGUUUUAUGCCAUGAGCAUAAUCAUAUGGGGCAUACUAUUUUUUAACAUUUUUAUUUUCUUUUCAAGAUGAUAUGAACCUGAUUAACUAAGCAAACUAUUUUAAGAUAAUUGAAAGGAAAAGAUAACUACCAAGUUUACCUCUUGGCAAGGCGUUCGGUGUUUUUAAGUCCUCCGAACGGGACUCUCCGUUUUCUCAGUUGUCCUGGGAUUCGCUAGAUGGCGUAGUCGGUGGUUUCGGCGGCGCGUACUCUUCAUGUAUAACUAUCUUCUCUCUCCACACCUGACUCGGUGCUACGGUCUCCUCAGGACAGUUCUGUUCAAGCUAUAUGUCUUCAGACCUUACGACUUCUUCUUCAUAGUCUGCCCAUCCGUCCUUGAUGAUUUGCCUCCUCUGGUUGCGGUUGCGUCGUCGUUUUCUUGUCCUGACCUACUUAGAGUCUUCAACUAUAUAGUUAGGGUCAGUAAAAUAGUGGCGUACCUUCUCAGAGGGGAAGUUCAUGUGGAUUUCUCCGGUUCCAAUGUAGAUGAUUGCUUUGACGAUGCUGAGGAAAGGUCUUCUAAGGAUGAUGAGUGGAUCGAAUUCGUCUUCUCCCAUGACAAUAACCUUUCAGAAUGUCUGAUCUGCCAUCUGAAGCUGAAUCUAUGUCGGUUGUAGGGGCAUGGUUCCACGCAGGAGCUGAUAAGUGACUGCGGCCAUUAUGUUAACGUUAGAUCCGGUGUUGUAGAGUGUCUUCUGAAAAGAAUAUCCGUUAAUUGUGCACUCGAUGCUUGGAACACCAGGGUCGUCCUUCUUGAUAAAGAAAGGUGACUUGAGUUGACGAUCUUGACCUCCUUGAGCUGCAGUGACCAUCUUAGCUGACUCGGUCCACAUUUGCUUGUUCCUGUUCCUCCUGUUGGUCCUCUUCCUUGUUUCAUGUCAGGAUUGCUCUGAGAUUUGUGUAGUCUUGUUCUUGAAGGAAAACGUCUCCGUCCUUCCCUUGAUGUAGAAACUGAUCUUGACAGCACUAGCAUAGAUGACAGCUCCCGAGGUAUUCAGGAAUGGCCUCCCUAGGAUGAUGGGUGCCCUCUCAUCAGUAUCAGUCUCUAUCACCACGAAGUCUGCUGGAGCGUAUAAGGUACCAACUCGGACGUAGAGGUUCUUCAAUAUUCCCCUUGGGAAACUUAGUGUCUGAUCUGCAAGCUGCAAACACAUGGUUGUUUCUAGGAAAGGAUGUGUAAAGAAUUUAUCAUAGAGUACCCUGAGAAUAAUGUUAACGCUGGAGCCAAAGUCGCAGAGUGCUUCUAGGAAGUCCACCAUGCCGAUGGAAAUCGGGAUGACGAGACGUCCUGGAUUGUAUCUCUUGACCGGCAGAAGGUCAGUAAUUAUUUCCACAACGGGGUUACUCCAGUAGUUACGUCCUCAAGCAUCUCAGGGCAGUGAUUGCCUGAGUGUCCAGUAUCUCCAGUGUGUUUGUGCUCGUAGAUCUAGGUUCUUCACUUAGUGGAGUCUGGGAGUUAUAAGAGUCCUUCAUAUUUUGCUCGAAGUGUACCUGCUCACAGAGACAAGGCAGAGAUCAAGUGCAUGGGCCCUGUUGGUGGAAAACACCAACAGAACCAAAAGUGUAUUUAUUCUUCUCUAACCUUAAGCAUAGUGAGCAAGACAAAGUUAAUGGAUAAUAAGAUCAUGAUUGUAGCAUUUAAAACAUUUGUCAGAUCAGAUGGCUCAACCUAAUGGAAAGAUAAUCUAUCUAUACUUAUGUUUUUUUUUAUCAUAUAUAUCUUCCAAAUAUUGAGUGUGCAACAUUUUAGCUCAUAUGAUUAGGAGUGUGGGAUCACAAAGGUGGAAGGACUAAACAUAUUGAAUCGAUUGGGUUGGUUAAUCUAGAGUUGUAAAUCAUACAUGUUUGUCUCUUUUAUUCAUGUGAACGCCAGAACCAAGGAGAAGCUUAUAAAAGUGAUAGUCAAGUACCUUAAGAUGUUACCUUACUUGAAGAGUGAUGAUACAGUAUCACCUUGUGGAAGCUUUCCUUUCUUAGCAGUUGUGAAUCGUGUUUGUGGCACCCUCCAUGGAUCAUCUCUUGUGAGCUAUGCCUUCCUUGUGUAAAUUGUUAAACUUCAUGUGUCUCUCUCUUUGUCUCCAAUGUGAGUUUGUCUCAAGACUUCCCAGAUUGAUAUUGAAAGUUUUCCUGCAGGGGUUAGUCCAACAAAAUAUCCAAUAUCUACUAUAGCAUACUAUCGGCUCAAAAAUCAACCUAGACACCAUGUCUAAUUUGAUUCAGGAGGGCUUUUUUAACCUAAGCACCAUGCUUAAUUUAAAACCCCUUGGAAGUAAGAUCAUCAUUCCUAAACUAAGCACCAAGCUCAAUUAAGAGAUAAAUGAAACUACUCCAAACCUAGACAUAUACUAAAGCAAAUAAAGGUAGCAUGAGAGCAUUUAUAGAGAUCUACUCAAGUGGAGAUGAAGUAGUGUGAUUAGUAUUUAACAAAUUGAGCAUGUUUCAAAGGUAAGGACAACCAACAUAGCAACAUGGCAAAGGAUGUUUUUAUGUAAAGUACUCCCCCAAGCUUGAAUUUUGCAAAAUUCAAGUUUGGAUGAAUUUAAUUCAAUGUUGUAUGAUGAUUGGUUGGACAUACCUUGUGCUUGUCAUUCAUCCGAUCUUCUUGCUCCAAUCCUAGAAAGGUCAGUGACAAGAAUACCCGAAGGAAUAUUUUUACAAUUAUCCUUAUAUGCUCAAUUCACAAGGUAAUGUUGUAAAUAAUUCAAAGCUCAUGUUACAAUCUGAUUAGUGCUUGUUUUAGGACACUAAGCUUGUCCUUGGGAAACCAUUAAUUUAUGUCAGCGAAGUGGUUUCCCCUCCAAUGCUGACCUAUAUCAAGAUCAACUCAACGAGAUCUGCAAUAUUUAAUAUAGACAUAUGCAUCGACAACCACCCUUUUAAAGUUUUUAUAAAUAGAAAGGAAGAGGGGGUUGGAGAUCUCGAAUGUGGUGAUGUUGGAGAGACCAAUGGAUUGUGAAGAUGUUGCAUAUGAGCAUGGAGUAAAUGAAGUGGCUAUGAAAUAAAUUCCAUGCUCAUUAAUGCUUAGAGUGAAAUCCAUGUGGUAUGGUGAAAAUGGUAAGGUGAGUGUGGUAAAAAAGGAAAAGAAAAAGGAUACACGGACGACUUGGUUCGAAACUAGCACAGCUACCUGUUGACGGUCCUUAAUGCUCAUAUUUAACCAUCAACUAAUCAUAGAAAAGGAUCCAAGUGCAACCAACACCUAGACUUAGGGUUUUAUCUGACAGAAUUCCACAAGUUUUGGUGUUUGUCUAUUUCUGCAGGGGGUUAUCAGGAAAUAUGGAAAAAAGGCCCACACGUCGGGUUUACAUAGAGAUAUUAACGUGCCGCACAAUUAUCUACCAUCUAGAAGAGUCCAGAAGCCACAGGAGCGAACGGGAGACGUAACGGAGUCGGGCACUGGGCGCCCGCCCUCCCUUACUGGGCGCCCGCCCUCCCCCCUGGACCAAUCAGGGUGAAGUUCGGGGAUCAUGCUCCACCGACCUAAUACUUCAAGGAAAACCACACGAUCAAUGUCGGUUUGAUCCGACGGCCCAGAUUCACUUGAAGGGACUAUAAAACCAGACCCCCUGGCCCCUGGAGAUCAUACCUCUUCUACAGAAUCAAAGCUAGGGUUUCAAUUCUUCAUCCAAGUAGAGAUGAUCCCUCUAGUUCUUCUAGUUCUACCUCUAGUUCAUCUAGAUCUAGUUCUAGUUCAUCUAGUUCUAGUUCUAGUUCGCUCUAGUUCUAGUUCUAGUUAGUUCUAGUUGUAAUCUAGAAAAUAGGGAGAGAGAAGAGGAGAGCAGAGAAGGAGGAGCCGGAUCUGUCGGAUCUUCCUCAACAUUGUACUUUUGCAGCAGCUGGUUCAUUCUUCAUCGUUCUCCAGGUUCUUCAAUUCAUAAUUUCUGAGUUCUUUAAUUACUUUUAUUUACAUUCAAGUUAUUUAUUGGAUUCCCGCUUGCAUCAAGUGCUCUAGUCUUUAUAACGCUAGAGUAGUAAUUAAUAGAUUAGACGUGGUGUUUAGUCUUGCGAUUACCUAGAAUUGCACCCAAUCCCACGGAUUGUUGUGGUAGCCCUAGGGUAGUGACAGCCCUAACGGUCGACGUAUUCCACCACGUUCGGAUCGGUGUUUGUAGGACCGUAGUCAGACCUUCCUAGCCCCGUUCUCAUCUCUUUCUGUGGUUAGUGCUCUGAUGUCCCGAUAUAGAUAAUCUUGAAGUAAUUCUUGAUUCUUAGAUCAACUAGAGAACUCUCAGGAAACUUCCUCUCUUCCCACCAAAAAUAAUUAUAUAGUUAUCCUUGGGCGAUCUUGGAUCUUAAUUAGUACACUCACGUUCUCUGUGGAAAAUCGAUACUCUGGAAUACUCCCGGGUGAAAGCUACAUCGGUAUCCGUGCGCUUGCGGAUUUUUCUGUUUGCGUUUAAAAUACCCAACAAGCUUUUUGGCGCCGUUGCCGGGGAACGGUAGCUGUGCUAGUUUCGAACCAAGUCGUCCGUGUAUCUUUUUUCUUUUCCUUUUUUACAACACUCACCUUACCAUUUUCACCACACCACAUGGAUUUCACUCUAAGCAUUAAUGAGCAUGGAAUUUAUUUCAUAGCCACUUCAUUUACUCCAUGCUCAUAUGCAACAUCUUCACAAUCCAUUGGUCUCUCCAACAUCACCACAUUCGAGAUCUCCAACCCCCACUUCCUUUCUAUUUAUAAAAACUUUAAAAGGGCGGUUGUCGAUGCAUAUGUUUAUAAUAAAUUUUGCAGAUCUCGUUGAGUUGAUCUUGAUAUAGGUCAGCGUUGGAGGGGAAACCACUUCACUGACAUAAAUUGAUGGUUUCCUAAGGACAAGCUUAGUGUCCUAAAACAAGCACUGAUCAGAUUGUAACAUGAGCUUUUAAUUAUUUGCAACAUUAACUUGUGUAUUGAGCAUAUAAGGAUAAUUGUAAAAAAAUUCCUUCGGGUAUUCUUGUCACUAACCUUUCUAGGAUUGGAGCAAGAAGAUCGGAUGAAUGACAAGCACAAGGUAUGUACAACCAAUCAUCAUACAACAUUGAAUUAAAUUCAUCCAAACUUGAAUUUUGCAAAAUUCAAGCUUGGGGGAGUACUUUACAUAAAAACAUCCUUUGCCAUGUUGCUAUAUUGGUUGACCCUACCAUUGAGACAUGCUCAAUUUGUUAAAUACUAAUCACACUACUUCAUCUCCACUUGAGUAGAUCUCUAUAAAUGCUCUCAUGCUACCUUUAUUUGCUUUAGUAUAUGUCUAGGUUUGGAGUAGUUUCAUUUAUCUCUUAAUUGAGCUUGGUGCUUAGUUUAGGAAUGAUGAUCUUACUUCCAAGGGGUUUUAAAUUAAGCAUGGUGCUUAGGUUAAAAAAGCCCUCCUGAAUCAAAUUAGACAUGGUGUCUAGGUUGAUUUUUGAGCCGAUAGUAUGCUAUAGUAGAUAUGGGAUAUUUUGUUGGACUAACCCCGGCAUGAAAACUUUCACUAUCGACCUGGGAAGUCCUGAGGUACACUCACAUUUUUGACAAAGAGAGAGGCACAUGAAGUUUAACAAUUUACACAAGGAAGGCAUAGCUCACAAGAGAUGAUCCAUGGAGGGUGCUACAAACACGAUGCACAACCGCUAAGAAAGGAAAGCUUCCACAAGGAGAUACCGUACCAUCACUCUUCAAGUAAGGUAACAUCUUAAGGUACUUGACUAUCACUUUUAUAAGCUUCUCCUUGGUUCUGGCGUUCACAUGAAUAAAAGAGACAAACAUGUAUGAUUUACAAAUCUAGAUUAACCAACCCAGUCGAUUCAAUAUGCUUAGUCAUUCCACCUUUGUGAUCCCACACUCCUAAUCAUAUGAGCUAAAAUAUUGCACACUCAAUCUUUGGAAGAUAUAUUUUAUAUAAAAAAACAAAACAACAUAAAUAUAGAUAGAUUAUCUUUCCAUUAGGUUGAGCGAUCUGAUCUGACAAAUGCUUUAAAUGCUACACUCAUGAUUUUAUUAUCCAUCAACUUUGUCUUGCUCACUAUGCUUGAGGUUAGAGAAGAACAAAUACACUUUUGGUUCUGUUGGUGUUUUCCACCAACAGGGCCCAUGCACUUGAUCUCUGCCUUGUCUUUAUGAGCAGGUACACUUCGAACAAAAUAUGAAGGAGUUUUACAACUCCCAGACUCCACCAAGUGAAGAACCUAGAUCUACGAGCACAAACACACUGGAGAUACUGGACACUCAGGCAAUCACUGCCCUGAGAUGCUUGAGGACGUAACUACUGGAGUAACCCCAUUGAGGAAGUUACUACUGACCUUCUGCCAGUCAAGAGAGGCGAUCCAGGACGCCCCGUCAUCCCGACCUCCAUCGGCAUGGUGGACUUCCCAGAAGCACUCUGCGGCUUUGGCUCCAGCGUCAACAUUAUGCCCAGGGGAAUAUUGAAGAACCUCUACGUCCGAGUUGGUACCUUGUACGUCCCAGCAGACUUCGUAGUGAUAGAGACCGGUUCUGAUGAGGGGGCAGCCAUCAUCCUAGAGAGGCCAUUCCUGAACACCUCGGGAGCUGUCAUCUACGCUAGUGCUGCCAAGAUCAGUUUCUACAUCAAGAGGAAGAAGGAGAUGUUUUCCUUCAAGAAACAAGACUACACAAAUCCCAGAGCAAUCCCGACAUGAACCAAGGAAGAGGACCAACAGGAGGAACAAGAACAAGCAAAUGUGUACCGAGUCAGCUAAGAUGGUCACUGCAGCUCAAGGAGGUCAAGAUCGUCAACUCAAGUCACCUUUCUUGAUCAAGAAGGACGACCCUGGUGUUCCAAGCAUCGAGUGAACAAUCAACGGAUAUUCUUUUUAGAAGACACUCUAUGACACCGGAUCUGACGUCAACAUACCGGCCGCAGUCACUUAUCAGCUCCUCCAUGGAACCAUGUCCCUACAACCAACAUACAUUCCGCUCCAGAUGGCAGAUCAGACAUUCUGAAAGAUUGAAGGUUAUUGACAUGGGAGAAGACGAAUACAAUCCACCCAUCACCCUUGGAAGACCGUUCCUCAGCACUGUUAAAGCAAUCAUCUACAUUGGAACCGGAGAAGUCCACAUGCACUUCCCCUUUGAGAAGGUACGCUGCUAUUUUAGUGACCCUAACCAUAUGGUUGAAGACUCUAAGCAGGUCAGGACAAGAAGAAGACGACGCAACCGCAACCAGAGGAGGCAAAUCAUCAAGGACGGAUGGGCAGACUACGAAGGAGAAGUAGUGAGGUCUGAAGACAUACAGCUUGAACAGAACUGUCCUGAGGAGACCGUAGCACCGAGUCAGGUGUGGAGAGAGAAGAUAGUUAUACACGAAGAGCAGGCGUCGCCGGAACCACCGACUACGCCAUCCAGCGAAUCCCAGGACGAAUGAGAAAAUGGAGAGUCCCGUUCGGAGGACUUAAAAACACCGAACGCCUUGCCAAGAGGUAAACUUGGUAGUUAUCUUUUUCCUUUCAAUUUAGUUUGCUUAGUUAAUCAGGUUCACAUCAUCUUAAAAAGAAAAUAAAAAUGUUAAAAAUAGUAAGCCCCAUGUGAGUAUGCUCAUGGCAUAAAACCCAUAAGUACAUUCACUGUGGUGGCGUAAAAAUAAAUAUAUAUUCCUGUCCUGUAAAAAUGAAAAUAUAAAUAAGAUUGUGAUCCUACUAAAGAGAGUAACAUUUAUUGAGGAGGCUCAACAUCAUAAAGGCUAGAUAUUUAUGCUAACACUUAACUAGUUCCACAAAGCUUUGUUGUCUAUUUGAGCUCCACAGAAUUCAAGGAUCAAAGAAGACUAGCAGACGGAGGACAUCCUAAUCACUGUCAGGGUGCUGCUGACAUUCAAAUACACCUCCACCACCUACUAGCUACAUCAGAAGAAAUUACGUCAAAAUCCAGCUUGGGGGAGAGCACCCCCAUUUAUUCAGCUAUGUGUUCUACUCGCAUUUAUAUUUUACUCAAAUAAUAAAAAGAUGCAUAAUCAUAAAAACCCAAAUAAAGAUUUUGUGCUUAUAUAUAUAUAUAUCUUUGCUUAGCUUGCUAAAUAAAUAAAUAAAGUUUGCUAUGAACCCUCAUGAUAAGCUCUCAUAUGGAAAUGAUGAAUAGUUGCUCUGCCAUGACUAGUUCCUAAUAUUGAAAUCUCUCUCAAGUUUAGGCAUAACUGUUAUGAAUUAAGAUUUGCUCUAAACCUGAACUUGUGGGGAGAGUACUUGAUGUGAAGUCUAAGUCGUUAACGGAUAUGAUAUGGGAAGGUUGAGCUGUUGUUUAUCUGUUACUAGAGAUGCUAGAAUUCUGGAGAAUUUUAUCUUUGAAAAAAUCUUUAAAAUGUUGCAUGAUGAGUUCCUGUAUGAUGAGAGUUUAAAUUCCUACCACAGCCAGAUAUACAUGCUUGCUAGACUUUGAGCCACACAUUUACUUUUUACUGCUUAUGAGCAUUGAGUGUGGUCAAGCUGUGUAGACCCUUAGGAGCUUGUCAUGUGGUUAAAUCAAGAUUCACUUGCACGUUCACUCACACAUGCUGCUUCUACUCAGGAAGUACCAUCCACAUAUAUCCAUUUCCAUCUCUAGAACCACCCAAAAAUAUUCUACUCCUAAUCCGGGAGAGAAUAGCCAAAAAUAUUUCUGUUUUUCCCCUGUGAAAUAAAUGCUCAAGUUAUCUUGGUUACUACCACUUGCUACAUUAUUUCAAGAGAUGAGUGCUCUAAAAAAAACAGAAAAAAAAGAGAAAAAAAAGAUACGAGGAAAUAAAAAGGGGCAAGUGCCCGGAACCUCGAAAGAAAAGAAAAAGUGAGACGAGAGGUAAAAAUGGACAAGUGUCCGACAGUAGAAUUAGGGGUACAAGAUACCCACUUGAGGAAAAAGAAAAAAAAUAUAGAGCAUCUCAUUCUCCUCAAAAAGUUUCAAAAGAGCAAGGAAGGUAUGUAUCCCCUCAAAAGAGCAAAAGUAGAAUUAGACUUUCACCAUUGUUAUCACCAUCAUCACCAUACACCAUUCAUUCGCCACACAUGCACAUCUUGAUUUGACUUAUUGACUUGUUCUUCUGGAUCCAUGGUUUGACUAUGCAAUAAAUGUCUUGUAAGUAUGUAUUAGCUGUCUCCCACCUAUGAGCUCCAGAUAUUAAAGCCUUAUUAGAGUAGGGUGAGAGAAAAGGCAAUGCCACUAAGCCUCAUACCAAAAAUACCACAUACUUUGAGAGAAUGCAUACACUAUUGCUGCCUUGGUAAGGAUCCAGACAUACCACAAAAGAGAGACUAGAGAGAGUCAUACAAGGAAUCUCUGAGUUUUAUUUGAAAAUCUGCAAAAACUCCAGAGCUAUAGUUAAUCGAAGAAUAAGAGACAUGGUGCUUGACUAGACUGUUCUAUCUUUUAACUACUCAAGACAGAAGUGACGGUUACAAGUCCCAUGGUGAAAGGUAAAUGAGUAAGUUUUAAGUCUUAACAGUUUACUCUAACCAGAGAUGAGAUCUUUUUUAAACGCAUGUGUAUCUUUAAGUUAUGAAACCACUGCAGAAACUCUUGAGUUUAUCUUUGCUCAGGGACGAGCAAAGGUUAAGCUUGGGGGAGCUUGUUGACGGUCCUUAAUGCUCAUAUUUAACCAUCAACUAAUCAUAGAAAAGGAUCCAAGUGCAACCAACACCUAGACUUAGGGUUUUAUCUGACAGAAUUCCACAAGUUUUGGUGUUUGUCUAUUUCUGCAGGGGGUUAUCAGGAAAUAUGGAAAAAAGGCCCACACGUCGGGUUUACAUAGAGAUAUUAACGUGCCGCACAAUUAUCUACCAUCUAGAAGAGUCCAGAAGCCACAGGAGCGAACGGGAGACGUAACGGAGUCGGGCACUGGGCGCCCGCCCUCCCUUACUGGGCGCCCGCCCUCCCCCCUGGACCAAUCAGGGUGAAGUUCGGGGAUCAUGCUCCACCGACCUAAUACUUCAAGGAAAACCACACGAUCAAUGUCGGUUUGAUCCGACGGCCCAGAUUCACUUGAAGGGACUAUAAAACCAGACCCCCUGGCCCCUGGAGAUCAUACCUCUUCUACAGAAUCAAAGCUAGGGUUUCAAUUCUUCAUCCAAGUAGAGAGGAUCCCUCUAGUUCUUCUAGUUCUACCUCUAGUUCAUCUAGAUCUAGUUCUAGUUCAUCUAGUUCUAGUUCUAGUUCCUCUAGUUCUAGUUCUAGUUAGUUCUAGUUGUAAUCUAGAAAAUAGGGAGAGAGAAGAGGAGAGCGGAGAAGGAGGAGCCGGAUCUGUCGGAUCUUCCUCAACAUUGUACUUUUGCAGCAGCUGGUUCGUUCUUCAUCGUUCUCCAGAUUCUUCAAUUCAUAAUUCCUGAGUUCUUUAAUUACUUUUAUUUACAUUCAAGUUAUUUAUUGGAUUCCCGCUUGCAUCAAGUGCUCUAGUCUUUAUAACGCUAGAGUAGUAAUUAAUAGAUUAGACGUGGUGUUUAGUCUUGCGAUUACCUGGAAUUGCACCCAAUCCCACGGAUUGUUGUGGUAGCCCUAGGGUAGUGACAACCCUAAUGGUCGACGUAUUCCACCACGUUCGGAUCAGUGUUUGUAGGACCGUAGUCAGACCUUCCUAGCCCCCUUCUCAUCUCUUUCUGUGGUUAGUGCUCUGAUGUCCCGAUAUAGAUAAUCUUGAAGUAAUUCUUGAUUCUUAGAUCAACUAGAGAACUCUCAGGAAACUUCCUCUCUUCCCACCAAAAAUAAUUAUAUAGUUAUCCUUGGGCGAUCUNNNNNNNNNNNNNNNNNNNNNNNNNNNNNNNNNNNNNNNNNNNNNNNNNNNNNNNNNNNNNNNNNNNNNNNNNNNNNNNNNNNNNNNNNNNNNNNNNNNNGCACGGCGCCAGAAAGCUUGUUGGGUAUUAAACGCAAACAGAAAAAUCCACAAGCGCACGGAUACCGAUGUAGCCUUCACCCGGGAAUAUUCCAGAGUAUCGAUUUUCCACAGAGAACGUGAGUGUACUAAUUAAGAUCCAAGAUCGCCCAAGGAUAACUAUAUAAUUAUUUUUGGUGGGAAGAGAGGAAGUUUCCUGAGAGUUCUCUAGUUGAUCUAAGAAUCAAGAAUUACUUCAAGAUUAUCUAUAUCGGGACAUCAGAGCACUAACCACAGAAAGAGAUGAGAAGGGGGCUAGGAAGGUCUGACUACGGUCCUACAAACACCGAUCCGAACGUGGUGGAAUACGUCGACCGUUAGGGCUGUCACUACCCUAGGGCUACCACAACAAUCCGCAGGAUUGGGUGCAAUUCCAGGUAAUUGCAAGACUAAACACCACGUCUAAUCUAUUAAUUACUACUCUAAUGUUUCAAAGAUUAGAGCACUAGAUGCAAGCGGGAAUCCAAUAAAUAACUUGAAUGUAAAUAAAAGUAAUUAGAGAACUCAGGAGUUAUGAAUUGAAGAACCUGGAGAACGAUGAAGAACGAACUAGAUGCUGCAAAAGUACAAUGUUGAGGAAGAUCCGACAGAUCCGGCUCCUCCUCCGCUCUCCUCUUCUCUCUCCCUAUUUUCUAGAUUACAACUAGAACUAACUAGAACUAGAAGUAGAGGAACUAGAACUAGAACUAGAUGAACUAGAACUAGAUCUAGAUGAACUAGAGGUAGAACUAGAAGAACUAGAGGGAUCCUCUCUACUUGGAUGAAGAAUUGAAACCCUAACUUUGAUUCUGUAGAAGAGGUAUGAUCUCCAGGGGCCAGGGGGGUCUGGUUUUAUAGUCCCUUCAAGUGAAUCUGGGCCGUCGGAUCAAACCGACAUUGAUCGUGUGGUUUUCCUUGAAGUAUUAGGUCGGUGGAGCAUUGUCCUGAAAGAGAGUCCUGAUUGGACUCUGGCUGAGGGCGGGCGCCCAAGAGACUAGGGCGGGCGCCCUGUGCCUGAGCCCUCUCAGCCUUUGCUUCGGUCUCGUGGCUUCUGGAGUCUUCUAGAUGAUAGAAAAUUGCGCGGCACGUUAAUAUCUCUAUGUAAACCCGACGUGUGGGCCUUUCUUCCAUAUUUCCUGAUAACCCCCUGCAGAAAUAGACAAACACCAAAACUCGUGGAAUUCUGUCAGAUAAAACCCUAAGUCUAGGUGUUGGUUGCAUUUGGAUCCUUUUCUAUGAUUAGUUGAUGGUUAAAUGUGAGCAUUAAGGACCGUCAACAGGCGGCGACCUAGGCCUUGCCGACCCAGGGGUCGACUGCGCGCCCCUCUUAACGGGCUUUAGGGGCGCCAGCCCCACCGAUGCCACUUUCUACUUCCGACUGGCAAAAAGAUGGCAAAGAUAAAAAGAAGAAAGAGAAAAACAAAAAAGAGGAUAAAAGCCUUGAGUAGGCACUUACCUCGCUUGGGGCGCAGCGCCCUUCUGGGAGCUCGGCGCUCCCUUGGUUCCGCGGGCUAUCAGGUAGGCGCCUGCCGCCGCCCCUAGGGUCGUGGUGGCCCCAACAGCUGUUCUGGCCUUCGGCGCCUCCGCCGAGACCUCCGCCUCCACCUCUAUCUCAGGACGAGGCUUGGUUGGGGCCUUCGGGCCCACGGGCGCUUCAGGCUCUCCAUCCGACGGCCUUGUUGAUAUUUGGGAACACAAUAAGGAAUUGAUCCGCAAGCGCACGGAUAUCGGUGAGCACUUCACCCGGGAGGUUAUCCAGAGUAUCGUAUUUAUUUUUUUACCACUAGGAGAAAGAGUGCAUCUGACUAACCCGGUCUAUUACUACUAACCCUUUAGGCAACAAAGAAUGUUUCUCGAUGUGAGUGAUAAAUAGAGAAGACUACAACCGUAAUCUCCUUCUAACCUUGGUAAGGAUGAUCUACUGUUCUAUUGUGGAGGCUAACAGAAUCUAGACACCACAAAGGAUGUUCAACACGCACCUAUAAACCCUAUCCUUCCUGCUAACGAGAUAUGGUCUGCAAAGGUAACUCGGAAAUGUCACGUUCCUCGCUACUACCACGGUCUAGCUAGUCAGGGAAUAUCUAUGAGUAUCCUAGCUUAAACACCACGUCUACGCUAGAGAUGAUUACUCUAAACUCUACGCGAAGAGAUUAAAGUAAACUCAUAAACCAAAGAACAAUAAAACAAGAACUUACUAGAAUUUAGAAGUCGAAAUACUGAAGAAUCCUAGGAGCAAGCCUCGAGUUAGGAGAACUUGAUCCCGCAGGUACAAGCUCGGAGUAGACACCGACAGGCCGGGCUUCCUCCGAUCUACACCUCCACUCUAUUUCUCUCAAUCUAGUAGAAACUAGAAGAUCUAUUUCUACUCACAUUGGUUGCUAAGCCUAAAAAGAAAUUUUAUUUAGAGAAGAGGUUUUCCUUCAAGGGCUCCCCUCAACUCUAUGAUAAACUUGUCUCCUCCAGGGGCUAGGGGGUCAUGUUUUAUAGUCCCCUCAAGUGAACGUGAGCCAUUAGAUCAAACCGACAUUGAUUGGACGGUUAUCCUUGAUCCUUUAGGUCGGUGGAACGUCGUGUGCGAAAAGAGUCCUGAUUGGCAUCGAACAGAGGGCGGGUGCCCAGGUCCUCAGGGCGGGCGCCCUGGGCCUGGCCGCUUUCGGCCUCUGCUUUCUUCCCGUGGCUUCUCGAGUCUUCUAGAUGGUAGAAAAUUGCGCGGUGCGUUGAUAUCUCUAUGUAAUCCCGACAUGUGGGCCUUUCUUAUUUCCUGAUAACCCCCUGCAGAAACAGAUAAACAACAAAACUCAUGGAAUCGAACCCUAAUUCUAGGUGUGGUUUGUAUAUUGGUCCUUUCUCUUGUUUAUUUGAUAAUUAAAAUUGAUACUUAAGAACCGUCAACAGGCCUCUCCCCACCUUGGGGACCCACGGGAACCGAACCCUCCUGAGGGGCUUCGUCCCCACCUUCGUCAACAAUGAUGUAGGGGGCGCCAUCUGUGCCCAAAGGAAUCCAUGACCCCCUUGGGGCCUCUGACCCCCCAAAGGCCUCUGUCCCCCCACCGAACAGGGGUACCUCUUCGUCAUCCUCCUCUUCUAGGAGCUCGUUCAGCCAGUGUGCGUCUUCCCCGCCCUCUAUCACCGAGACCGAAGCCUCAGAGGAUUCAGGCUCGGGGAGCCCCACCUUCUCAGCCUCACGAUGGCGCUUGACCAAGGCCUCCGCCUUCUUUGCCUUCUUUGCCUUCUUCGCUUUCUUAUUCUCCUUCAGGCGCUUCUGCUCCUCGUUCUUGGCCUGGUUCUGGGCCCAGAUCUCCUUGUCCUUUGGGACCGGGGGUAGGACGUAUUUGAUAAUGCCCAUCCCCUGCGAACAGAUGGCGACCCGAAUAAAAACCAAGGCAAAGAAGAGGAUGACAAAGCAGGGAUAGGGGUGGAGAUGUCUUACCAGAGAGAAGUAGUCCCUAUCAAGACGCAUCGUGAUGACCUGAUAAUUCUUCAACUCUAAGGACACCGUCCUCAAGACUCGGAGAUUGAUCUGUGAGGCGGGCAUUGGCUCCUCCAGCAUCCGCUUCCUGGCCAAGGGUGCAUUGGGGGUCAUCUCCCACAUGGGCAGCACCCGCUGUGCCAGCGGGAGGAGGCUUCGCUUGUGGAAAGCGACCACCACCGUGGCCGCAGUAACGCCCUCUCGCUGUAGCUUUGCGAGGGCCUCAAAGAGGGCACUCAAUAACCAUCUUCCCCGUGUACUCCAGGAGAAGGUCGUGGUCGUUUUGGAGGUAGAACCACCUGUUCUGCCACCCCCGGUCCGACGACGGCAUGAUGCUCCGGAUAUACUUGCUAGAGUGCGACUACCGGAGCUGGAGCGUGCAGCCACCGGUCCUUAAGGGCCUCUUCUCCCCACCCUCGUUGCGGGAGGACAUCUCCGCCUUGAAGAGGUGGAGCCAGAGGUUCCAAUGGGGAGGGAUCCCCAGGUACCCCUCGCACACCGUGGCGAAGACGGCCGCAUGCAUAAUCGAGUUGGGGUUGAAGUUGUGCAGCUCCACCUCAUAGUGGUGCACAAGGGUGCGCAUGAACCGGUAGGUUGAAAUCCUGAACCCCUGGUCUUAGAAAGACAGGAAGCAAACCACGUAGCCUAGCGGCAGGUUUGGCUCCCUAUCGUUCACCAGAGGCACGAGCUACUCUGGCAUUGUCUCGUCCGUGACAGGAUGGAGAAGUCCACCCGCCACACGGGCCUCCAGCGCCGCCUCCAUGACGUUGCAUGGAUGCCACAUGUCGUCGCCGGCCAUGGUUGGGGGCGGAAGCGGGUGCUUGCAAGGAGCUCGGUGGUGGUGAGGAGGUGACAGCAGGAGGCUUGGAGGCGUGAGUGUUUGGAGGCAAAGGUAAAAGGGGAAAGAACUAGAGACCCCGCGGCGGCUUUUAUAGAAGAGGCGUGCCACAUCCCGUCCUCCACGAAGCGGAUCGGGGAGGGGAAAAUAAACCGUCGGCCGCCUCAUUAACUAAGCAAGGUAACCAAGGCGUCCACCCUUUCCGAUUCCCAUGAUAACUGCACGCACGCACGCAUCAAUUUUGCAGGCGAAACGUCCUGUCUAGAUCGGGCGCAAUGGCGUGGUCGUUCUGGCUCCCAACACGAGUCGCCUCAAAAGGAGUGCCCCGCCAAUCAAGUUCGAGUGGUUCCUUCCAAGGUAAGGAGCGCCCGACACCCCUGCUACGCCCGAGCCGAUACCUCCUAAGGUAAAAAUCCCCAAGGCUAUGGCCUCUUACGUUCCAGAGGUUGUGAGACUGACCUUGUGGGGGUAUAAAACCCUAUACCCUUACGGCUAGACUUGGGCCAGGAGACUUGGUCCAUCACGAGACAAUUCGGGGCUUGAUCCAACUGCUUGGAGUUCCACACAAGGAAACAAGACGUGGAGAUCAAGCUGGAUUCUAGUCGAUUGGAAUAGGAAUUGAUAUCAUACUAUCUAUGGCAAUUGUAACCGACUAGGAUUAGUUUCCAGAUCUGUAACCCUGCCCUCUGGACUAUAUAAGGAGAGGCAAGGGACCCCCUAGGACAACUCAUCUCAACUCGACACAAUCCAAUACAAUCAGACGCAGGACGUAGGUAUUACGCCCACACGGCGGCCGAACAUGGACAAAAACCUUGUCUGUGUCUUGCGUCACCAUCAAGUUCGUAGCUUGCGCACCAUCUACCGAUAAACUACUACCGUGGGUAUACCCCAAGGUAGACUGCCGACUAGCUUUCGUCGACAGUGGCGCGCCAGGUAGGGGGUGUGCGUACAGCUCUCCCGACGAACAAGAUGGUCAUCGUUCCAGCUUCUGCGGCCGUGGCUGAAGGCCUCAUGUUCACCGUCGGCCAGAUCACUUGGACAACUCACGGCGGCGGCCUUGCGACCACGACUUCGGAAGAAACCCAGAUCCAAUCUGGGACAGCAGAGGCGUCGACUCCGAUCACGCCGACUCCGAGCACCCGACCUCCACUCCCUCGUUACAGGGCAAAGUGGGUCGACAACUCAGAUCUCCUCCAAGCCCUCGAUCGCGCCAACCUCAAGCUCCUCGAAGCCUCCAACCUGGUGGAUUCGAUUUCACGAAGGUCUGAUCAGGCGACAGCAACAAAUUUUUUCGACUACCGUCGACCAACUCGUGUCUCCACACACGAACGGCUAGAGACGUCCCUGACCAUAACAUCGACCACCGCGGGACGGACCGUAAGCUCAAGACAAGCCCUCCAGACCAGCAUUGCCUUUACAGUCUGAACAACGCGGCCGAUCAGUUUUCGCGGCAUACCCAAUCUCUAUUCAGGAAGGUAGGCUUGUCGUCAAGCCAAAACAGACAACCAACUCGUCACUUCGUCGAUAUGGUCUCCAUCCGCACCCUGCCAGAAGACAAGUCCAGCAGUACAAGCUCCAGCACAGGAUCUAUCCCCACCGAGGUUUUACACCCCAAGGACGAAGACUACGAUUUGAAUCCGCCGCCAUACCCGUCGGGGUUCUCUCGCUUCCCGGUCUUUCCACCUCGAUGAGGAGAUCUGGUUUUCAAUGUCAGUAAUGAUGAACCAGUUGUUGAUGGAGAAACUGAUGAGCAGAGACAGCAACGAGAGCAACGCAACACCGACCGUGCCCAACGAUGAGCAAACGAGGAACAACAGCUCGCCCCACAUAGUCUCAAUGAUGCUUUUGACAUGGUCGGAAAUCAGCAGGUCUACAAGACACCAAGCGCCAACAUGGCUGUCGCCAUGGCAAACUUGGAUCGCCUUCCCGAUGCUCCCGAAUAUCAGGACAUUCGAGCCAACAUACGGGCGCAUUUGAUCGUGGCCAUGGGACAGACCGCUACUCUGCUCAAAAGGGUUCAAGCCGUAUCCUAUACGGAGGUCACCUCCGACCAGACUCAUCACAGCCGCACCUCACCGCGAUCUGGCGGGCACCGUCGUAGCCGUUCACCCACCAAUAAUCGAAGGAAGGACACCCAUCGCGACAAUUGUGGUUGGGACGCCAGCAGUUACCACGAUCAAAGACGUGGACGUGGUCAGCAGGUGAACCAGGAUCGGGAUCUACGACACAACAUCCCCCCUAAGGAUGCCCGCGAACACAUCAACAGGCGCGCUACGGAACGAGCGGUACACGAAAACGUGUGACGCAUUGAAUACGAUGCAGCACAUGCCCCCCUGGCCUAAGACAGUUUUCCUCCCACCUUCACCAAGUCGUCUGGCCCCGCAACUUUAAGCUCGAGAAGCUUAAAAAAUAUGACGGCAAGGAGUACCCUGAAAACUGGAUCACUCUUUACGAGAUCGCAGUCCGAUCAGCAGGAGAAGAGGAGCACGUCAUGGCAAAUUACUUCCUAGUCGUCCUUGACCAAGCUGGCCAUCAAUGGCUCCUCGGCCUACCCGAGGAGUCCUUCGACUCUUGGGAAGAACUGCGCCAGGCGUUUAUUAACAAUUUCAUUGCUACCUGCGAGUAGCCUGGAAACAAAUACGAUCUCGAGAGGAUAAGGGACAGGAAAAAUGAGCCCUUGCGCGAUUACAUCCGACGAUUCUCAGAUAUGCGUCUUAAGAUUCCAAAAAUUUCUCACAACGAUGCCAUAUCAGCCUUCAUCAAAGGCCUAUGCUUCCAUGAAGCAUUAAGGAGUAAGCUACUACGCAAAAGACUGACCACGGUUGCCGAGCUCCUCGCCACGGCCAAAAACUACGCUGAUGCCGACGACGCCGAAAAACUCAUCCGAGAAGAUGCGAGAGGAGCCGACCAGCCUCCCCGGCAAGAUGAUAGCCGUGGACGCUUUGAUAACCAGAAUUCUCGACGCGGCGACAACCGAGAAGGUUGGGACAGGUGCCGCGACAACCGUGGUGAUUUCAGAGGCAAGCGACCUCGCGACAACGACCACGAGGUGAACACAGUCAAGCAUCCUAAUGGACGAAGGGACUAUCAGGAAGACUACAAUAAGACGCUGAAAGGACUGUGUCACCUCCAUCCCAAGUCCAAUCACACGAUGGAAGAAAGUUGUGUCCUCAAAAGCAUCUACACACAUCGGGUUGCUCAGGGGGAUUCCGUCAAGAAAAACAGGAAGCCGGAUAGACACGGCACGAAGACGAAGAUGAACCCACGACACCAGUAUGUCAGUCCCACCGACGUGGUGCAUUCCAUCUUUGGAGGCAAAGUUUCCAUCGAAUCUAAACGAGAAAGAAAGCUCCUGAAGAGAUCUGCACGCCUCAAUGUGGACAACACGGACGGCCUGAUCGCUGACCCAAAAUUCCCUCCCUGGUCGCAUAGAGAGAUCUCCUUCAACAGACAGGACCAGUGGGCCGCUAUCCCAGAACCAAGGCAUUUUCCUUUGAUCCUGGACCCUUGCAUCAACAACGUCAGGUUCGAGCGUGUGCUUGUCGACGGGGGCAGCUCCAUUGAUAUCCUUUUCUGCAACAGCCUGCCUGCUCUCAAGCUAACCCCGGCGCAACUGAAGCCGUAUGAUGCUCAGUUUUGGGGCGUCCUGCUAGGUCAAAGUUCAGUACCCCUCGGGCAGAUAACGCUGCCCAUCCAGUUUGGAACGCCACACCACUUUCGCAUAGAGUUCAUCAACUUUGUGGUCGCCGACUUCGACGGUACCUAUCACACAAUUCUAGGCCGCCCCUCGCUGACCAAGUUCAUAGCAGUUCCGCACUACUCAUACCUGGUCCUCAAGAUGCCAACCGAGAAAGGCGUCUUGACCGUCAGAGGCAACGUCUACACCGCAUACACUUGCAAGGAGAAAAGCUUCAAAGUUACCGAAGCAAUUGAUAUCUCGAUUCGCAUGGCAGAAACUGCAGUUCAAGCCGCGCAAGUUCCACCCGACCAGCUCCAACUACCCGAGCAAGAGACUCCAAGGAAGAGCUCCAAGUCCAAAGAGCACAAGGAAGUACAACUAGUCGACGGCAGCCCUGAGAAGACAGCUCUUAUCGGGGCCAACCUAGACCCCAAAUAGGAAGACGCGCUCGUCAGGUUUCUAAGGGACAACGUAAGUGUUUUCGCAUGGAAAGCCGCAGACAUGCCCGGCGUCCCACGAAACCUGAUCGAGGACUCCUUAAACAUCUCAAAGACCGCAAGACCUAUCAAGCAGAAACUACGACGGUUCGCUCAUGACAAAAAGGAGGCUAUUAGGAUAGAAAUAACACGGCUACUAGCAGCCGGAUUUAUUAAAGAAGUGUAUCAUCCUGAUUGGCAUGCCAAUCUAGUUCUUGUAAGAAAGAAGAAUAAUGAAUGGAGAAUGUGCGUUGAUUACACUGAUCUCAAUAAACACUGUCCUAAAGAUCCUUUCGGUCUCCCUCGUAUCGAUGAGGUGGUCGACUCAACGGCCGGAUGCGAACUCCUUUCUUUUCUCGACGGUUACUCUGGUUAUCACCAGAUCUCGCUAAAGGAAGACGACCAAAACAAAACUUCCUUCAUUAUUCCUUUCGGCGCAUAUUGUUACACCACCAUGUCCUUUGGACUGAAAAACGCUGGGGCCACCUAUCAACGCGCUAUUCAGCAAUGCCUCUGUGACGAGAUACGUGACGACCUCGUCGAGGCUUACGUGGAUGACGUUGUCGUCAAAUCCAGGGACGCGAGCACCCUGAUCGACAACUUGGACCUCACUUUUAAGGCGCUAAAUAAAUACAAGUGGAAGCUCAAUCCCAAAAAGUGUGUCUUUGGGGUCCCCUCUGGUCUACUGCUCGGCAACAUCGUCAACCGUGACGGCAUACAGCCGAACCCUUCAACAGUUAAGGCAGUACUUCAUAUGCGACCACCUAAGAACGUCAAAGACAUUCAAAAUCUCACCGGAUGCAUGGCUGCUGUUGACGGUCCUUAAAUACUAAAAUUAAUAAUCAAAUAAACAUGAAAAAGGAUCAAUAUGAAACAAACAUCUAGAAUUAGGGUUUUAUCUGACAGAAUUCCACGAGCUUUGGUGUUUAUCUAUUUCUGCAGGGGUUUAUCAGAAAAUAGGGAGAGAAGGCCCACAUGUCAUGUUUACAACGAGAUAAUUACGUGCCGCGCAAUUUUCCUCAAUCUAGAAGGAUCCAGAAGCCACGGGAACGAACGGGACGCGAAUCGGGCUCGGGAGCUGGGCGGCCGCCCACCCCCCUUGGGCGCCCGCCCUGGCCAGGAAGCCAAUCAGGACUCUGUUUCGGGACAACUCUCCACCGACCUAAAGGAUCAAUCUAAACCAUACAAUCUAUGUCGGUUUGAUCCAAUGGCUCACGUUCACUUGAGGGGACUAUAAAACCAGACCCCCUGGCCCCUGGAGGAGAGGAGGAGAAAUCAUUAUUCAGAGGUAGCCAUCAAAGUUAGGGUUUAGAGCUUCUCUCCCACAGAGAAUUAGAAUUAGCUACUCCCUAAUCCUUCAAGUUUAGAGGUUGAUUAGAUAGCAAUUAGAGAAGUAGAGCACUACGCUCUGGAUUCGGAUCUUCGGUAAUAAAGAUUGGUAUUAUUCAUAUCUUUCUCUAAUUCUAUUGUUCUAAUUGCAUUAUGUCUUUAAUUAUUAUGUUAUUAGUUUGCUCUAGUUCUAUAUUUGAUAUAGUUAUGAUUGAUAAUGAGUUUAUGUAUAAGUUUGCAAAGCGCUUAGCUCUUGUCGCGAGGGAGUUAAGUGAUAGAUCACAUGUGAGCGUGGUGCUUAGAUGUUAUUUAUCUGCAAAUGUAUCCUAUUGGCCGAGUCGUGUGGUAGUUCGCGAUAGUGACAGCUUCGUUGAUUCUUAUAUAGUCCACCCUCCGUUGAUAGGACAGGCAGAACCGGUAUUGUGGAGUAAGUCAUGCGAUGUUCUGAUUUACUUUAUCAAUGUUCCUUAUACAUGAAUGAAGAGUCUUUUAUGCUAUAUAUGAUCUUGUAGAUAACUAGAGUAGAUUAUGACUUAGUAGUUAGUAGAUAACUUAGAAUCCAUUCUCUAGCUAAUCCGACAUCACCUACAUAUAUGAGGAGUAGUCUAUUUUCUAAUCGCUGUGUUAUCUACCCAUGAACUUAUACUUUAUUAUCAUUAUCUUUAUGGUUUACCCCCUGCUAAAGUAUGUGACUGUGUGAUGAGUUUCUCAUUAGUAAUCAUGUUCUUGCAAGUUUAUCUCUAGUCUAUGCCUUGAUAGAUUUUGCCCCCUUUUAUUUUAAUUCCAUCUUCUUGAGAUCCCCUAAGCAAAAUUAUAACGGUACCUGGAAUACUUAUCCUGGUGAAAUGCUACAAUGAGGUGUUUUAUCUGUGCGCUUGCGGAUAGAAUAAAUUAUUUUCUAGAGAGCCUUUACAUUUAUAAAUACCUUUGUACACUCUGGCGCCAUGCUAGGGAUGACAACCUAGUAUCUAAGUGGUGUUAGCUAGUGUCAACAGCUGCUCUCAGCCGGUUUAUCUCUAGCCUGGGGGAAAAAGGCCUCCACUUUUUCAAACUUCUAAAAGCAUCGGAAAAAUUCUCCUGGAUAGAGGAAGCUAACGCUGCGUUCACCCAGCUCAAAACUUUCCUCACCUCUUGUCGGUGUUUUCCCCACGGGGGGUCACACCAACGAGUAAAUUUGUAUGCGUGCUCCCUUUCCUAGAUGGUGAUGCAAGAAGACACAGAGAUUUAUCCUGGUUCAGGCAAGAGAAGGCCCUAAGUCCAGCGGGGGAGGAAAGUUUGUAUUAUCUUGCACCUAAGUGCUUGUACAGGGGCGAAUACAAGCGUGGUAUGGAGUAUGGGAGUUCUACUGCGUAUGGGUGUAGUGUUGCCUGUGUCUUAUCUAUUCCCGGGUCCUUCCUUUUAUAGCACCAAGGAGAGACCCAGGGUACAUGUGUAGGUGUCAGAGUAGGGGUCGAUAGAAGCAUGGCGCGCUGACCUACUCGAGGCCUCUGUACCAGCGUGGUCUCGAGCCGUCCCGUCUCGGCAGCUUGGUGAUGAUCACGCCUGCUCCUGUAUCCUGCUCUGCGCGCCGUCUCGGGCUGGUUCACCGGUCGCACGCUUGUACGGUAUGGCGGCAGAUCCGGCGGAGCGGUUGCGGUGUUGUCAGUCGACGCUCAACUUGUCUCCAAGAAGGAAUCAUGUCUGGUCGAGGGUUGAACGCUGUGCAACGCCCUGAUAUCCGUAGCGCUGACCUUGGUUGUCUCGAGGGGGUCCUGAUUAGACGUUCCAUUCCUGUUUCCCGCGUCCUGACAUGCCCUGGGUCGUUUGGUGGGGAAGGCUGCAAAAAGAACGACGGGACGGGUGCCUGUUCCCUACCACGCUUCCCGUGAUCAGCGCGUUAGGUGGGAAAGCGACAGGUGCAUUAAAUGCCCUGGCUCUCGUGCGUGCGUCAGGCGGCGGGCGGCGUCCUUGCGCUCGACGCCUCCUGGAUCGCGCGAGCCCGUUUCCGUAUUCGACGGUAGCUGGUGCUCGACCCCUGAUCGAUUCGCUCGACGCCAUUUCCGUCUUCGAGGCUGCGUUCGUCGACGACCGCGCAUAUGUAUAACUAGAGCGUCGGGUCGAGGGCCUUGACCCGCGUAUGGGUAAUCUCGUUAUGUGCAUCGGUGAGGGUACCCCUUACUGAUACCCUCAACAGUAGCCCCCGAGUCUCCAUUUGAGCGAUGGCGCUCGAGUGGAGGGUCUGUUUUGCGAUCGAAUUUCCGUGGGGGCGCGCGAGCAACCCCGCGGGGGUAGCCCCCGAGCCCCUGGAGGAGUUUUUGACUCCUUCGAGGGUUAUAUUGCCUAAUUCGUAGAAGCGCCGUCGACACCAGUGGUGGAGGGUUCGGAUUGGCUCGUUUUGUGCGGAGGUUUCGACGUACUCUCGAUAGAGCGAGCGUCGUCCACCCCAAAUUGAGUUCAUAGUGGGUAGUCCAAGUGAGAACCUGUGCCCCUUUCGAGGGGGUCAGCUGUAGCCCGGAGGCGUUCUCAUAAAGCAGGGUCGACGUGGUCGGGGAUACUGGUCUCAUUCGAUAGAGUCCAGCGGCUUGACGCCUCCCGUCGGGGGGAUUCCUCUCGACUGUCUCGACCCUACCUUGGACAUCGCCAGCGAGUCUUCGAGGCGGGCCUCGAUCUUCGACCGCUCGCUGGGGAUCCCUGACUCUGGUGCUCGAGAUCGGCUGUCGAACCCUUUCGGUGGGCCAGCCAUCGACCUCUCGAGACUCUCGUGGGCGCAUCCCUUGGCUUACUAGGUAAGGAAAGAGCCGCGACGGUUCGCCUUUUUGCCUGUUGGGCGCGUCUUUUUAGGUGGAGACGUUACAACACUACGUCGACGUGGGAUUCGGAGCGCCCCACCUGUGAGGAGGGAAAGGACUGUUAGAUGGCGCAUUUAUGGGGGGAGUUACCUCAUUUCUCGGAUCUAUCCGUUGGCGGACUGCUGCCUAUAAAUACGCCGUGGCGUCGCCGCCGUUCUUUCUUCCACCUUCCGCCUUCUUGCCUUCGUCCUUUCGUUGCCUUAGCUCCCUUGUUGUCUCACGCGCGCGCGCAUCCCCUCGAGCGGUAGCGGAUCCACCGUCCUUCCGGCCAAGAUGCCUGUGAGGCUCGUCGCCGCCGACGACUGGCGCCCGUCGUCGAUAACGGAGCGCCGGUUGCUAGAUCUUGAGAGAGAGGGACUCCUGCGACGCCGCACCUCGCUGUCAUCGCCGGAGUGGAUUGCGCCGCCGGCGGGCCACAGGGAGCACCAGCCGCCAGAGGGCUACGUGGUGUCGUUCGCCAAAUUCCACCGAUACGGCCUCGUCGCUCCCCCGAGCCGCUUCAUGCGGGCACUCUGCCUCCACUAUAGGGUGGAGCUUCAGCAUUUCUCCCCGAACGCCAUCACCGUCGUGGCGGUCUUCGCCGUGGUGUGCGAGGGCUACCUCAGGUUGAUGCCCCACUGGGAGCUGUGGCUCCACCUCUACAGGGGCGAGCUUUUCAACGCCCCCACCGGAACCACUGGCGUGAGGAAGCAUGUGCGGGCCGGGUGCCUUAACCUGGUGCUGAAGACGAAGAAGACGGAGAGGCCACGCGAGUACAUCCCGGUGGGGUUGUCAUCGAACCACGCCAGAUGGGACUCCCAGUGGUUCUACCUGAGGAACGACGACGGUCUCUUCCCUGCUUACACCGGUCGUCUGAUUACGGAGCGCCCGGACAACUGGACAUACGGCGUCGUCCAGGAGCACCAGUCGCGGCUCGACCCCCUCCUCGACGCCCUGAAGAAGCUACGCCUGGAGGGCCUGUCCGCCGCUCUCGUCCUCUCGGCCGUCCAUCGUCGCAGGGUCCUCCCACUGAUGUCUCGGCCGCUGAGGAUGGAUGAGAUGGGGCCGGGCGUUUCGUCCCGAGAUCUCGAGGCAUGCCGGAUGUCCAACGAGGCUCUGGCAGACGAUGAAACCGCUGCUCGGGUUAGGGCGGCCAUCGCCAGCGACUUUAAGUUGGAGCAUGUCAACGACUUCCCUAUGAGGCCCGACGAAGGCUCGAUCGACCUGGUAUGCUCUUCUCUCGCGCAUAGCUCUGAUUCUGGAUUUCCCUCGAUCCUUUUUAAGCCUACCUUUGUUCUAGCAGGGACGCAUUGAUGUCCGGUCUUCGAGGCCCCCUGUGAAGGAGGACGAGGUCGACCGCGACAGACGGCGCUAGUCCGCCGAGAAGCUGAAGUCCGCCAAGGACUCUGCAAAGAAAGGGGAGAAAAAGAAGAACCUCGACCGCCAAGCAUUAGAGGCGCGUCGAGCUAAAUCCAGGCAGAGGGGGGAGCCUGAGGAAGAAUCCCCUAGCGACGACGACGAUGAUGACGAGGACAGCGACGACUCCGAGGGGACGGCGUCACGCCUUGACCGGAUCCUCGAGGGUCCGCCUCGAGGCGACGUCGACGCCCCCCAGAUGGAAACUCCAAAGGAGGGUCCUGGCGGAUCUCACCGCCCUCGGGCCGACACCCCUCCUGCGCUCAUGGCUGGUCAGCUCGCGCCGCGCCCUCCUCCAGCGCCUAGGGGGGCGGCCAUGCUAGGCCAUAGGCGACGGGGCCACUGACUCGUGGUCGCACCGCGGCCUCCGAGAAAGGAGAGGCCGGCCGCAGGAGCGCCAGUCCCGGUGCCCGUCAAGCGGGAGUUGCUGCGCCAAGGCCAGCGCCUGCCCUCGAGGGGCCUGGAGCCUUGACACAGGGUGGCUCGAGGCCCACCGGUCGGGGCGCCGGGAGGUGAGCUGUUCUCCUUGUGGGGUAAGCUUCUUCGAUACUGUGACUUUUGUUUUCCCGUUCCUCUGCAUUUUCUCGUAUGCCGAUCUUUUUACGCUCAUCCCUUUCUUUUCUCCGGCUAAAGUGGACACUCGAGCAGGCCCAGCCUUCAAUGGCGAAAAGGCUCAAAGCGGGAGCAGUCUCCAAAGAGCCAGGUUUGUAGCUUACUUCUGGUCUCGUGACGUUCUUGCAAGCCUUUAUUCUUCUUUUUGCAGGCUCGUCCGACUCUCAACCUCCGGCCGACGCCAAGAGUGCUCCGCCUCGUCCCGAGCCUACCCCGUUGCCGUCGACGCGUGGCGAAGCGCCCCAAACUCAGGUGCAAGAAGGAGCCCCCGAGCCUCCUCGAUUGGGGGUUGAGGCGGACCCCAUCACCAUCAGCGACACGUCUGGCGGUAACGAGGCGUCUGGGGAUGCCCGCCCUAUGGAGGAGGAGGCGUCGACCUCCCUCAUCGCGGGACGGACUCCCUGGCCCGCCGGCCUUCGAGGAGCAGAAGAAGAAAGAGGAGGGGGAGGAGGAGCGGGAGCACGAGGCAAUGCGGCAGCCGCAAGAGCAGCAGCAGCAACAGCAGCAGCAGGAGGAGGAACAGCAGCAGCAAAUGCUCGAGGGGCAGCAGCAGCAACAUCAGGGGGGCCAAGAAGAGGGACCCAUCGAGCCCCCACCUCACGGUCUGCCCCAACCAGUACCACCGGUGCCGCAAGAGCCCGGCGAGCAGGAAGAAGAUUUGCCGGUGUACGGCCCUCCAACCCCAGCGUGGCUCCUUCCGGGGGCACCUGCCGCGAUCCGGGCAGAGCCGGGGCGAGCGGACGGUGUGGUGGCACUCGCCUGCAUGAUGCGCACCCCCGCCGACCCCGAGUCCGAGAUCAGGAGGACGAUCUACUGCAUGGAUGGGAUCACCCCAGGGUUCCUCCAGGAGCGUCGGGAGUGGGAGGACCGCUUUCCCUCUGAGGAGGACGAGAUCAGGACGUCGAGGAGUAAGGACGGUACCUGGAAGACGGUGGACGACGACGGGCGGUUCCCAUGCCUCGUCGACCUGUUCUUGCGUCAUGGGGGCUCCCUCGAGACCGUCGAGGACCUUAUCCGCGGUGUCAAGGCGCGGGCUGACCGAGAGAUGGAGCACUGGUGCCCCGAUCGGAUCCGCAUCCGGGCUUCCACCGAUCCGUCCGAGCCCAACAUCUUCCUGGACGACAGGAAGGAGGCGAAAAAAUGGGAACACAUCGAGGAGCUCCGCCUUUGGAUGAAGCACGUGGUGGGGCUCCUAUCGGACGUCAUCAACAACGGGCUCGGGCCGGCCUACUUCGUAAGUAUUUUUUGGUCCUUAAUUCUCAUAGAUCCUUUGGUUUUGUGUUCUAAUCGUUCGACCCUCGGCUCGUAGGACAUGAAAGAGACCUCCCGUAUCAAGUCGAGCUUCCUUCAUGCCACAAGAGGAGGCUGGGAGCAGCUCCCCGUCCUCAAGGACCAACUCCUCGAGUCGCAAGAAAAGCUCCUUAAGGCCUAUAAAGACCUCAUAGCGCUCGAGGAGGAGAAGAAGGCGAGGGAGGCUGCCUUGGUCGAGGCUCGAGAGGCCUCAAGGAAGGCGGAGGAGGAGACGACGCUGCUGCGGGAGCGGGCUCUGACAGUCGAGGAGGCCGCAUCCAAAGCCCGGGAGGAGGCCCUGUCCUACAAGAAUGUCAUUGUCGAUCUGGACAAGGAGAAGGGCCUUCUCAAGACCAACCUGGACUCCCUCCGAGAAUCCUUCCAAAAGAUGAAGGUGGCGUAUGUGGACAACGAGGUCGCCAGGGGUGCCGCAGAGGACGCAAAGAAGAAGGCCCUCAAAGACCUCGAGGCGGAGCGGGCUCGAUCCCGCAGGCUCUCUGACGACGUCGAACGUCUGAAAGGAGAGCUGUUGGAGAAGAGUGGGGCCAUUGCUCAGGCUGGUAAGGUGAUCGAGGAUCUCCGCGUUGCUAACACUGAGCUGGCACGGUCCAACAAAGAGAUCGAGAGGGCCAACACCAGACUGGUCGGCGAGAACACGGCCCUGGAGGAGAGUGUCCGCGGUACGUUUCCUUUGUCGGAUUUCUUUUUCGAGGUGUUCUUGGUUUUUCCUAAAGCUUCUUGUAUUGGCAUUUACAGGGCUUAAGGACGAACUCUUAGCCGCCCAAGUCGAGGCCCGUAGUGCUAAGGCCCAGCUCGAGGCGGAGGUUGCUUUGAACCGUCGAGUGCGGACGGCGAUAAAUGACCUCUCGACCUCUUGGGAGGUCGAGCCUAUGGACGAGUCGAAGGAGGACGCUCGAGGCGACGCACUGGUCGACCAGCUGUGCUAUUUUGGCGCGAUGCUGAGAGAUCGGGUGCGGGAUGCCCUCCACAUCGGGGUGAAGCGGGCGAUGGUGGUUGUCUGCUCGGGCUUCUCCUACGACAUGGAAGUGGUGUCCCACGGCUUCGUCACCGAUAUCUCUAAGACCGACGCGGAGAAUGAAGAGAGGCUCCACGCCUUGAUCGACGACGCGGAGGCUCCUGGAGAGAGGCUGGCCAAGCUUUUUGAGCCUGAGGUGCUUCCUCCUGAGACUAGCUCGGGCUUAGGUGAGGGUGGUGAGGAUCGUGCUGAAGACUGAGGCCUGCGAGCCUGCUUAGGGUGCCUGGGGCCCCUUGUAUGAUACUCUGUUAACUUUUCUAUAAGUAGUACAAUGUCUUUUUGUGACUGUUUAAUGUUUAUCUAUCUUCCCGCUCGAGGUUCUUUUAUUUCUCUUUGCGCCUGCGUAUGUACUCCUUGUUCGAUCUUUCAUAAAAAACAACCUCGAUCAUCUCAAGGGUGAGGAAGUGAGUAGAGUUUCCAUAUCCCGGGGGCGUAGGAGUUCUCAGGCUCGUUAUCCCUCGGCCCUUAAGGGGCUCGAGGCGCCUCAAUUACUCGAUCGUGCAAGGUUUACUGAGUAAGGAAGAAAGAAUUUCUUGGCUUUUUCGACACUUGGGGGGGGGUCGCCCCCCUGGUAGCCCCCGAGGGGGUACCGACUAUGAUGGGUCAUAGUUGGUACUCCCUUCUAAUGUCAAGAUUUGGAAGAAAGUAAAUCGCUUGAGGGAAAGGCUUCAUUUAUUCAUACAUUCGUUUACAAGGCCUUGGUACAAAAUGUGCGUAGGAACAUAAAGUUGUGAACUUCUAGGGGUAGAAUCGACGUAGCUGUUCGAUGUUCCACGCGUUGGUGAAGAUCGCCCCCUUUCCGUCCGCGAGCUUGUAUGUCCCUGGCUUCAAGACCUCGGCCACCACGUAUGGGCCCUCCCAUGGUGGAGUCAGCUUGUGGCGUCCUUGAUUGCUUUGCCGCCGUCGUAGGACAAGGUCGCCCACGUUUAAGUCCCUUUUGCGCACGUGCUUGUCGUGGUAACGUCGAAGUUUCUGCUGAUAUCUGGCAGAGUUGAGGAGGGCCAUGUCUCGAGCUUCCUCGAGUUGGUCGACCGCGUUCUCUUGGGUCUCCUUAUUUGAUUGCUCGUUGUACGCUUUGAGUUGGGGGACCCAUACUCGAGGUCCGUGGGGAGGACAGCCUUAGAGCCGUAGACCAUGAAAAAUGGGGUGUAUUUUGUGGCCCUGCUUGGUGUUGUCCUUAGGCUCCAUAGGACCGAGGAAAGCUCCUCGACCCACUUCUUGCCGAAUUUCUUCAAGCGAUUGUAGAUCCUUGGCUUGAGUCCUUCCAAAAUCAUGUCGUUGGCACGCUCGACCUGACCGUUAGUUCGAGGGUGGGCUGCAUACCAGUUCACACAGAUGUGAUGCUGAUCGCAGAAGUCCAAGAACUUUUUGCCGGUGAACUGAGUGCCGUUGUCGGUGAUGAUGACGUUGGGAAUCCCAAAUCGGUGGAUGAUGUCGUUGAAGAAAAGGACGGCCUGCUCGGAGCGGAUGUUGGUGAUGGGUCGAGCCUCGAUCCAUUUGGAGAAUGUGUCGAUGGCCACCAUCAAGUGGGUGUACCCUCCUUUCGCCUUUUGUAGGGGCCCUACUAAGUCGAGCCCCCACACCGCAAAUGGCCAUGUGAUGGGAAUCAUCUGAAGAGCGUGGGCGGGCAGAUGCGUCUGUUUGGCGUAGAACUGGCACCCAUGACAUGAGCAUACGAGCUCGAUGGCAUCUGCUACAGCCGUUGGCCAGUAGAAGCCUUAUCGGAAGGCGUUCCCUACGAGGGUCCGUGGAGCAGCGUGGUGGCCGCAAGCCCCCGAGUGUAGGUCCUCGAGGAGUUUCCGGCCUUCUUCCACGGUGAUGCAACGCUGCAGGACCCCCGUCGGGCUUCGUCGACUCAUUGCCCUCGCCAUAGAUCACGUACGACUUGGCCCAUCGAGCGAUACGGCAGGCCUCAGACCGAUCUUCUGGCAGCUCGCAGCGAAUUAGGCAGUCGAGGAACGGUGUGCGCCAGUCGAACGGUCGACCGAGGCGCUGUUCUACUUCCAUCACCUCAGCCGCCAUCAACAGCGUGUCGACGGUAUCGGUUGGCUGAGCAGGAGCGGUGUCGACGCCAGCCCCCGAGCCCAAGUCGACGGAUGGCUCGUGAAGAUCUCUCGAGAGCGCGUGAGGUGGUACCGUGCCUCGGGUUGACGCGAUCUUGGCGAGUUCGUCGGCUGCCUCGUUGUAGCGUCGGGCGACAUGGACGAGCUCGAGGCCAUGGAAUUUGUCCUCGAGUCGACGGACUUCUUUGCAGUAGGCCUCCAUUUUCGUGUCGUGGCAGCUUGAAGUCUUCAUCACUUGGUCGAUGACGAGUUGGGAGUCGCCUCGGACGUCGAGGCGUCGGACUCCUAGCUCGAUGGCGAUCUUGAGACCGUUGACGAGGGCCUCAUACUCUGCGACAUUGUUGGAUGCAGCAAAGUGAAUCGUGAUGACGUACCUCAUAUGGACGCCCAAGGGAGAGAUGAACAGCAGGCCAGCCCCGGCCCCCGUCUUCAUGAGUGACCCGUCGAAAUACAUCGUCCACAGCUCCGACUGGACCUGAGUCAGGGGAAGCUGGGAGUCUGUCCAUUCCGCGAUGAAGUCUACCAGAGCUUGCGAUUUGAUGGACUUGGGAGCUCGACCGACCAUUUAGCUAUUCUUCCUAUGGCCUCCUUACUCUGGAUUAUCUCACCCAGGGGGAAAGACGAGACCACCGUGAUAGGGUGAACGAGGAAGUAGUGCUGCAGCUUACGGCGGGCGAGGAUUACGGCAUAGAUCAGCUUCUGGAUUUGGGGGUAAUGUGCCUUGGUCUCCGAGAGCACCUCGUUGACGAAAUAUACUGGCCUCUGGACUGGCAACGCAUGCCCCUCCUCCUGCCUUUCGACCACCACCGCUGCACUGACAACCUGGGUCGUCGAGGCAACGUAAAGGAGCAGUGGUUCCGUAGGUUGAGGUGGGACUAGGACUGGUGCUAAGGUCAGUGUUUUCUUCAGAUUUUCGAGGGCUCCCUCAGCCUCGGGGGUCCAAGAAAAACGCUCGACCUUCUUCAGGAGUCGAUACAGCGGUAGCGCCUUUUCUCCUAAUCUCGAGAUGAAACGGCUCAGCGCCGCUAGGCAUCCCGUGACUCUCUGCACACCUUUGAUGUCUCGAAUCGGCCCCAUCCUUGUGGUGGCCGAGACUUUCUCGGGGUUGGCCUCGAUGCCACGCUGGGAAACAAUGCAGCCCAAGAGCAUGCCUCGAGGCACACCGAAAACGCAUUUCUCGGGAUUGAGCUUGAUCUGGUUGGCGCGUAAGCAGCUAAAAGCGAUCUCGAGGUCCUGGAUCAGGUCUCCUUGACGCUUUGAUUUGACGACUAUGUCGUCGACAUAGGCCUCGACCGUCGACCCUAUAUGCUUGCCAAAUACGUGGAGCAUGCAGUGUUGGUACGUGGCUCCAGCAUUUCGAAGCCCAAACGGCAUCGUUACAUAGCAGUACAUCCCGAAAGGUGUGAUGAAAGAGGUCGCGAGCUGGUCGGACUCUUUCAUUUUUAUUUGAUGGUAACCAGAAUAUGCAUCAAGAAAAGAAAGGGUUUCACAUCCCGCAGUAGAAUCAACAAUUUGAUCAAUACGUGGUAACGGAAAGGGAACUUUUGGACAUGCUUUAUUUAAACUCGUAUAAUCGACACACAUCCUCAUUUUCCCAUUCUUUUUCUUAACUAGUACAGGGUUUGCUAACCAGUCCGGAUGAUGAACCUCCUUGAUGAAUUCGGCCGAUAAAAGCUUGUGGUCCUCCUCGCCAAUGAUCUUGCGCUUCUCCUCGUCGAAUCGGUGCAACCGUUGCUUUACUGGCUUGGAACCGGCUCGAAUCUCCAAGGAGUGCUCGGCGACUUCCCUCGGUAUGCCUGGCAUGUCCGAGGGACUCCAUGCAAACAUGUCGGCGUUCGCACGGAGAAAGUCGACGAGCACAGCUUCCUAUUUGGGGUCGAGGUCGGCGCUGAUCGUCAGCACCUUGCCGUCGGAGUUGUUGGGGUCGAGCGGGAUCUUCUUGGUUCCCUCUACUGGCUCGAAGCCGCCCGCGUGGCGUUUGGGCUCUGGAGCCUCAGCGGCCAGGGCCUCGAGUUUUGCGACGAGCUCGGUGGAGUCCUUGACCGCCUCCCCAUACUCGACGCACUCGACGUCGCAUUCGUAAGCAUGCUCGAAGGAGGAGCUGACAGUGAUGACGCCUUUGGGACCGGGCAUCUUCAGCUUCAAGUAGGUGUAGUUGGGUAUAGCCAUGAACUUGGUGUAGCCCGAGCGCCCGAUGAUGGCGUGGUACGUGCCCCGAAACCCGAACACCUCAAAGGUGAGGGUCUCCUUCCUGAAGUUGGUCGCCGUGCCAAAGCAGACCGGUAAGUCGAUUCGACCUACUGGCAGCGCCUUUUUCCCUGGCACAACGCCGUGGAAACCACCGGCGCUUGGUUGAAGCCGUCCCCUGUCGAUGCCGAGGAGGUCAAGGGUCUCGAGGUACAUGAUGUUGAGGCUGCUGCCUCCGUCCAUUAGCACCUUCGAGAGCCUUGUAUUGACGAUGAUGGGGUCGACGAUGAGCGGGUAGACGCCCGGGGCAACCACCUUGUCGGGGUGAUCCUCUCGGUCGAAGGUGAUGGGUGUGCUCGACCAGCUGAGGUACUGGGGCACCGCCAUUCUUGCCGCGAAGACCUCACGGCGUUCCCUCUUGCGCUGCCUUGCAGUCAACUGCGUCGAGGGCCCACCAUAGAUCAUGUAGCAGUCGUGGACAGCAGGGAAACCAUCGUCGUCCUUGUUGCCCUCCUUGUCGCUGCCCUUCUCCUUCUUGGGGUCGUCGCGCGCGUCCUUUCUGAACCCCAGGCUGUCGAAAUGCUUUUUCAGCAUACGACAAUCCUUGAGCUUGUGGUUGGCUCCUCCUUUGUGGUAAGGUCAUGGUUCCUCUAGCAUCUUAUCAAAAAUACCUCCAUCUGGGGGCCUCGAGGCUUCUUCCGCUCCAUGGCGGCGACGAGGACGUCGUCGAAGUUCUCCUGCUUGAACUGCCGCACCUUCUGCUUCUUCUUGUUCUUCUUGAGCCCUUGACUGGGGGUCCCGUCUUCAUCGGCAGGCUGCUUGCCUUUCCUUCCUUCACAACCGAAGAAGGCACCGACUGCUUUCUCCCCUGCUGCGUAGUUUGCCACUACGUCCAUGAGCUCAUCGACGGUCUGAGGUCGGUUCCGACCCAAUUCCCGCACCAAGUCUCGACUGGUGGUACCAGAGACAAAUGCCAGGAUGACGUCGUGGUCAGGGAUAUGUGGCAGCUCGGUGCGCUGUUUUGAGAAGCGUCGAGCAUACUCUCGAAGAGUUUCUCCUGACUUCUGUUUGCACUUGCUGAGGUCCCACGAGUUCCCGGGCCGUAUGUAGGUCCGUUUGAAAUUACCCUCGAAGACUCUAACCAAAUCGACCCAGUCGUGGAUCUGAUUGGCUGGGAGUUCCUCAAGCCAUCGACGGGCGGUGUCGGAGAGGAAGAGCGGUAGCUGUCUGAUGAUGGCUCGAUCAUCUCCUCGAGCGCCUCCUAGCUGACAGGCUAACCUGAAGUCUGCCAGCCACAGUUCUGGUUUGGUUUCACCAUUGUAUUUUGCGAUGCUGGUUGGGGGUCGGAAUGGACUGGGCAGGGGUGUGCUGCGGAUUGCUCUACUAAACACCCGUGGGCCUGGUGGCUCGGGGGCAAUCCGGUCCUCGUCGCUGUCGUACCUCCCACCGCGAUGCGCGCUGUAAUCGCGCUAUUCCGCGUCCCCAUACUGACGGCGUCGAUUCUCUUCGAUGUCAUGCCGCGUGUCGUGUCGACGCUGAUUGUCGAUAGGGAGGACGAGAGUGGUCUUUCUUCCUCGAGGAGGUGGCUGUUGAUGGACUGACACCUCCUUUUCGUUUUGGGGUGGCUCAUCGCGCUUUUCAGUGGCGGCUCCUCGUCGUCGAGAAGCUGAGCUUUCGGCUUGUUGAACCGCCGCUACCUGGAGCAGAGUCUGCACCUCGUCUCGAAUGCGUCGAGCUUGGGAGUUCGAUGGCUCUGGCAUGUUGCGUAGCAGCAUUGUUGCUGCCACUACGUUUUGGCCUGCUCGUGGGAAGCGGCUGACAGGUUGCUCUGGUUCCGCGUCUCCGACGAUUUGCCGGUGUACCUCUCGAGCUCGCCUACGGACACUUCCGCCGGGCGGGUAAGGCAAGUCUUGUUUGAGGAUUUGCUCGAGCACGACGAGGCGCUCACGGUCUUCGUCGAGCUUUGUCUUGAGCUCUCGUAGCUGCGCAGCCCUGUCUUCCUGUGGAAGGGGGUCGACCUGUCCGUCGUUCCCAGGCGUCCUGGGGUCUUCCCUUGCUGCAGGGACUCGACCGCCGGCAGCAGCAUCCUGUGUCUCGUCGGUAGUUUCUACCGCCCCGUCGAUGUGAUAGCAUUCCCUAGUUGGGUCGUAGCUAUCGGUCUCGGAGUCGGAGUCCGGCUUGGCGGCGUAGAAACAUCCACGUCCCUCCUCCAGCAGCCGCUGUCUGAGUGAGGUGAUCGUGUACCGUCCAGGGCCUAGGCGACGGAGGCCUCGUACCUGGGAGAAAUCCGGCUAUUCGGACGUCGGCCGCUGCAUCUCAGAGUUACGUGGGAGGACCAUUGGUCUUUCCACGUACGUCUGGGCGUUCAGGCAUAUCGCUCUGGCGAGCGACGCCGCGGCGUUGUCCAACCCGAAUGGCAGUGCCCUUCCUGGGGUGACCAACCCGUGUGGAAGUAAUCUGGCGGCGGGGGAGAGCGCGCGGGGCACGUCACCUCUUGUCGUCGUGUGAUGCUGAGCCGGCACGUCCACGGUCCUGGCUCGCGGUGUUACCGGCUGCUGCGUCACCUCCUGCCUAGCACGAACAGCUGGUCGUGACGAGACAGAGGGGCGACGAUGAUACUGCCCACGCCUCUUCUUGGGCGGGGAGGCAUGAUGGCGAGGGCGUCUCGGGGCCCUCAACCGUGCUGGCGCAACGCGGGCUCCUCCUGGUCCUUUGAUCGAGAGCAAGAUCAUGUCAUAGCCAGAGCCGGUCGACAUGAACUCAAGACUCCCGAACCAAAUCACGGUGGAGUGCGGGAUCGGCGAAACGGGAGUGGCCAUCUGGAAAGGAGUGGGAAAUUGAUGAAAAACACGCAGGACCCCUACCUGGCGUGCCAACUGUCGGUGUUUUCCCCACGGGGGGUCACACCAACGAGUAAAUUUGUAUGCGUGCUCCCUUUCCUAGAUGGUGAUGCAAGAAGACACGGAGAUUUAUCCUGGUUCGGGCAAGAGAAGGCCCUACGUCCAGCGGGGGAGGAAAGUUUGUAUUAUCUUGCACCUAAGUGCUUGUACAGGGGUGAAUACAAGCAUGGUAUGGAGUAUGGGAGUUCUACUGCGUAUGGGUGUAGUGUUGCCUGUGUCUUAUCUAUUCCUGGGUCCUUCCUUUUAUAGCACCAAGGAGAGACCCAGGGUACAUGCGUAGGUGUCAGAGUAGGGGUCGAUAGAAGCAUGGCGCGCUGACCUACUCGAGGCCUCCGUACCGGCGUGGUCUUGAGCCGUCCCGUCUCGGCAGCUUGAUGAUGAUCACGCGUGCUCCUAUAUCCUGCUCUGCGAGCCAUCUCGGGCUGGUUCACCGGUCGCACGCUUGUACGGUAUGGCGGCAGAUCUGGCGGAGCGGUUGCGGUGUUGUCAGUCGACGCUCAACUCGUCUCCAAGAAGGAAUCAUGUCUGGUCGAGGGUCGGACGCCGUGCAAUGCCCUCAUAUCCAGAGCGCUGACCUUGGUUGUCUCGAGGGGGUCCUGAUUAGACGUUCCAUUCCUGUUUCCCGCGUCCUGACACGCCCUGGGUCGUUUGGUGGGGAAGGCUGCGAAAAGAACGACGGGACGGGUGCCUGUUCCCUACCACGCUUCCCGUGAUCAGCGCGUUAGGUGGGAAAGCGACAGGUGCAUGAAAUGCCCUGGCUCUCGUGCGCGCGUCAGGCGGCGGGCGGCGUCCUUGCGCUCGACGCCUCCUGGAUCGCGCGAGCCCAUUUCCGUAUUCGACGGUAGCUGGUGCUCGACCCCUGACCGAUUCGCUCGACGCCAUUUCCGUCUUCGAGGCUGCGGUCGUCGACGACCGUGCAUAUGUAUAACUAGAGCAUCGAGUCGAGGGCCUCGACCCGCGUACGGGUAAUCUCGUUAUGUGCAUCGGUGAGGGUACCCCUUACUGAUACCCUCGACACCUCUGUUGGCGGUUCUUAAUGACAUAUUUACCCCGCCAACGUAGUCCAUGCAAAGGAAGAAAAGCAUGUAUUUUACUCACAUAUACUUAUUAAAUGCUUACCAAGUUCCACAUGUAGUGCAAGUUGUGUUUUGCAGAUCAUAUACAGGCAUACAGGUGGAAAGCAAAUAAAAAGGCGCAAUCCGACACGUCAAAAAAUGCGCAAAUAAACAAGUACCCAAAAGCCCAAUAUAGAAGUGCAUCAAUUUGCAGGUGGAUCUGGACUCAGGGGCCCGAGAGGAAGGCAACGGGCUUCGCGCCGGGGCCAGCGGGGCCCACCAGGGGGCGGCCGCCCCCUAGGGUCGGCCGACCCUGGCCCAGCCCAUCUCGGCACCGCCUUUCGCAAAGGCGGUGCUGAGCCUAUCCUCCCGCAGUCCCCGCAUGCAAAUUGCAGUUUACACCCUAGGGAACCGACCUUCCCCACCUAUUUAAGGAGGGGGAGAGGGAGGCUCCAUUCAUCUCAUCACAUUCAGAAUCAACACUCCACCUUCAAGGCACUUGGGCACUACCUCUUCUUAGUUUUUCCUUUUAGCUUUUAGAGAGAGAGUUGGGUGAGCUAUCAAGGAGGGCUUGGCUCCUUGGAGAGAAACUUGGGUAUGAAUAAAGAAUAUCUUUACUCCAAGUCCAUGCCUUAUCAUGUCCGAUAUAGUUCUUCAUAUGAACUAGAGUAUAGUUCUUAUGCUAUGGUAUAUGACAUAGAUCAUAGGCCCUGUUUUAUGAUGCUAGCAUAUGAACUAUAAUAUAGUUCUAGUGAAAAUGAUAUGACAUACAUUUUAGUAUAUAGUUCUUAUAGUAUAAUGCUAGCCUAGGGCUAGUAGUGUAUUAUAUGAACUAGUGCUAAGUGUAUGUUGUAUUAUUCUCACUUAGGACUUUAGUCUAAUUGCUUCAUGUUAAUUAAUUGCCUAGAAAUAGCUUUGUGUGAAGAUGGGGGUUUAUCAUGCUCUUUUGAGUAGGCUCGGGCUUCUUACCUGUCGAUCCGUAGGGUCGGGGACCCGAGGGAGUCUGAGUAGGUUCUUUGCAUGUAAGCAUGGUGCUUGGGUGUAAAGGCCGGGUAAAUGCAUUGUCCUAGUCCACGGUUGAGGGGAUGGCGGCAGGUGGUGACAGCCCUGUCCGUCCUUGGCAUUCCCCCACGUUCGGCUAGGGUGUAGGAGUCUAAAUAGUUGUGGAGGUUGCUGGCAGACCAGUACUCGCGUAACCUCCCAAACCAUCUAAACACAGCCCCGCUGUUGACACGGCCGGCAAGAACUUCGAGCUACGCACCCGCCUGAUCACCAUGGUGUAGGCGAGCCCAUUCUGUGGCUUGCCAAGCGAGGAUGCGAAUGCACACCUUCAACACUUCCUGGAGCUAUGUGACACGAUUGUCAUCAAGGACAUCACUCCUGAUGUAAUUCGGCUCCGCCUCUUUCCUUUCUCCCUCGUGGGGAAGGCGAAGAGGUGGUUCUAUCAAGAUAAGGAAGCUGUCACCACGUGGGCAAAAUGCUCCGCGGCAUUCCUCGCCAGGUUCUUCCCCAUAAGCAAAACCAAUGCUUUGAGGGGAAGGAUUGCCAGUUUUUAACAAAAUGCCAGCGAAACAAUCCCUGAAGCAUGGGAGCGGCUACAAGAGUACAUCCUAAGCUGCCCCCAUCACGGCAUGGAGAACUGGAUGGUGCUCCUGAACUUCUACAAUGGGCUCACGCCCAUGUCGAAGGGACACCUAGACGCCGCCGCUGGAGGCACGUUCCUAUCACUUACCACCGCCGGGGCCAAGGCCCUGAUCGAGAAGAUGGUAGAACACCAAGCUGGGGGGAGGACAGAACUCAACCACCAGCUGCCAAAACACAAAAAGCCAUGCAUACUGUGAAGGAGAUGGAUAUGCUUGCUGCAAAAAUAGAUUUAUUGAUGAAGCAACUCACCGAAAAGAACCAAGAAAACCCCUCGAACUCGGUGAAGGCCAUAGACUCGCACAUGACGUGCGAGGUCUGUGGAGAAGUUGGCCAUUCGGGGAAUGAUUGCCCCGAAACCCAUGAAGACGCUGCCUACAUCAACAAUGGGUUUCGCCAACAAGGAGGCGCCAACCAAGGUAAUGGUUGGAAUAAUCAGUCACACUCUUCAUUCCAAGGUAAUUCGAGUUUUAAUUCGAAUCAACCUUCAUUAAAAGACCUAGUUCUUAGACAAGCUAAAAUAAAUGAAAACAUAACUAAAAAGUUGCUGUCCAAUGAUAAGGUUUUAGAAAACAUAAAUACAAAAAUAGAAAACCUUGCCUCUUCCGUACAAAACAAACUGAGAUUUAAUAAAAUGAUAGAAACACAACUAGCUCAGAUCGCCGCUGCAAUUCCUACUGAGAAUGCGGGUAGACUCUCGGGGCAACCCGAGAACUCUCCCACUAACCAUGUAGGGUGAAAUUCAAACGACGGAAGAGAGUCCUUCUCAAAAAGGACUAUAAACAUUUUUUUUGAGCCUCCGCCGAAGGUAAUCGGUAGUUAUCUUCAAACAAAAAUUUGAAAAAUAUUCAAAAAUUCAUUUUCAACUAGGAAAUAAAAUAAAAUAAUAGAAAAAUAUUUUUUCUAAAUUUUUCGAAAAUAAAAAUUUUACAAAUAAAUGUUGGGCAAAAGUCACUUUUUUAGCUGGAAGUGCAUCAAUAUGCCAACGGAAAACUUCAAAAAACUAGCCGUUGGAAGAUGGAGACAAAAGCUGGGGAGCAGCAGGGCCCACCAGGGGGCGGCCGCCCCUAGGGUCGGCCGACCCCCCCCAACGGCUCUGGCCAACGGCCAGCUGGGGGAGGCUCCUAGCCGUUGCCCUCACCCCGAAUCCACCUGCAUUUUCAAACUAUAAAUACCAGGGGUUCAGGUGUGGCCCUCUCCACCCAUUCUCACAUCACUUCAUCACUUCCAUCUUCACUCUCCAAGCAACACUUUCACAUCUUUGCUAUUUCCAACCAACCACCAGCAGAAACCUCACAAAAAAAUCACCUAUCCAAGCUAGCUAUCCACUGGUGCAAGCAUUGCACCAUGAAAAGGUUCGGCAAAAUAGUUUUGGGGGCGUUUAAAAGAGUCACGAGGUCAUCCUCGAAGCGCCCUAUCGGAGCACUUCCUCAUACUACACCGAUCCCCAAUGGAGUCCUUCCACUGUGGAAGAAUCUACGGAGAUCGAGGAGGUAGAGGAAGAGGUAGAGGAAGAAGAAGAGGAACAAGAGGAGGAACAACAUAAAGAAGGAGGAGCCCACCAAUUCGACUUGGUGGGUGAUCGAGAACAUCAAACCUACAACAUGCUCAAGGACCGGAUCUUCCUCCAUACGCCGGUCUACGACGACUCGCUCCUCUCCGACAUCGGUAUGGACUCUGAAUUCCUCUCCAUAUGGAAAGCCACUGGGUGGGACAACAUUCACCCCAUAACUGAGUAUGGAUCCUAUACCCUUACCAUUCAAUUCCUAUGCACUUUAAGAGAAACAUAUGAAGGUAUUUCUGUUCGUUUAUUUGGAAAUGAAUAUGCUAUCUUUUGGAAAGACUUAAGCAAAUACCUUGGUUUUCAUCAAAGAUGCUCUCUUGAUUUAGUGCAUGCCACAAAAGGGUUUAAUAAGGAUAAAUUUUGGGAAGAAAUCACGGGGCAAGUUCACACUGGAAAAUACUAUCCUAGAAAUGCCCACAUCCAACACCCCACUCUAAGGUUUUUACACCUUUGGCUAUCCAUAACAAUAUUUCCUAGCCAGGGUACCCGCGUUGUGCGAGUAAAUGAAAUGAGGUUACUUUACACGGCUAGAAUGAAAAUAAAAGUUGCGCCUGUGCAAGAAAUUGUAAGGCAUUGGUUAGAUAUAAUCAAGACAACCACCCCUAUCUCUUUGACUUCACUCAUAACACGUUUGGCCACAGCCAUUAGUGCGUUGGAAGGGCAAGAUCUUGAUUAUAUUCAUAUUCCACGCACCCUGAUUAAUGAAACCUAUCUUAUCCAAGGUCACCAUUUGAAAAGAGAUAAUGCGGGCGGUCUUGUGUUUUAUUUCCCAGGGUAUACAAACGUAAUCCGGUUACCUAACCCGGGUCUACGCUUGUAUAACUCUGAGAGACUAACCUUUGAUUUGCAGACAGCUAAAACUGCGCGAAGGCGUAGUGUUUCUGGCAGGGACAUCGGCGGAUCCAGCUCCCAGCCACCACCCUCCUAUACACAGCCGAUCUACCAGUCGGGGUGGGACACACCCGUGCCGACACAAGGUGUUGAGGGGUGGGCUGAGGCGGAUUCUGUAACACCCUAGGUGUUAAGCAUGCACUUAGUCUCAUCAAAGUCAUGCAUAAGCAUUCCCAUCAAGCAUAAGCAUCAUGAGCAUGACACUCUUCUCAAAUUAUGAUUUGAUGUGCUUCACUUCUUGAGUUUAAAUAUUCUAAAAAUAUGAUGCUUGCUUCUAAAAUUGUGAAAUAUUCAAAUUAGGUUGCUUUAUGUGUAAGAAAAAUUUAGAAUAUUUUUGUGCAAUUUUUGGAGCUAUGGAAAUUGAGAAAUGGAAUUUAUACAAAAAUAUCCAAAAAGAAUUUAUUUAAAACCUAGAACUGAGUUUUAACUUGUAAUUCAAAUUCUGUUUGGAAUUUGGUCUUGCUUGUUAAAGCAAAGUUGUAGAGUUUUUGUUUUGGAACAACUUUGUUUUUGGGAGCAAGAGGUGAAAAUGAUUUUAAAUUGGUCCAAAUGAAUUUAGAAAGAAUUUGAGAAAAGAAUUUCAAAAAAAAAAGGAGAAAGGGGGCAGGCGCUGCUGGGCCGACCCGCCUCCCUUCUGGCCCAGCUGGGCAGCGCGGCCCGCUCCCCCUCCCCUCUCUCCCGCGCGCGCGGCGCCCGCCUUGCCCCACCCGGCGCCGGCCACGUGGCGGCCGUACGCAGGCGUUGGACGCGCCGCGGCCGGCCUCCAACCCCCCUGGUCGGGACGCCGACGCAGGCUCCCAGGCCACUCCCUCCAUCCUGUCUCCCCCGCGCCCUCCUUCUCCUUCCUCCUCCGCUCGCACCGCGCAGCAGCAGCCGCUCCUCCGCGCGCCAUUGCCGGAGAGAGCUCCGCCGCUCGUCGCCGGCCGCACCAGAGCCUCAAGCUCGACGCCGAGAGCACCAGGGCACUCGCCGUCGCUAGGGUAAGCUCGUGCGAACGUUCUACCGAGGUGAGAGUCCGUCGAGUGCCGUGAAUCGCUCGCCGGAGUUACCCCGAGCUCGCCGGAGUACUCCGCCGCGACGGAUCUAGCGUUUCCCUGCCUCUUUUCGCUCGUUCUCUGUUGCGCUAGGUCGGUAGGAAGGUGAGGAAGCUCGGAGAGGCGUUUGCGCACGCUCUACCGCGCCGGAGCAGCCUGGCCACGGCGAGCAGCGCCGCCGUGCCGCCAUGCAUGCUCGCCGGAGGUGUUCCGGCCGUCCUCUGGUCGAUCCAAGGGUACCGCUGGGUGCGUCUUGCUGCGGGGAGCACGUUGGUGCUCACCCCGUGGCCGGAGACCUCACCGCCGGCGAAAUCCGCUCGUCGGAGGUGAGCUCCCUCUCGGUCUCGCUGACUGGUGGGGUCGGGGACCCACUGUCAGUCGCAGGGGUACCCCGGUGGGUGUAGAUCUGGGUGUGCGUAGCCUUUUUCGUCGGUUUUCUUGAAAAAGUGUUUUCCAGAAAUUGAUUUAAAGUUUGUAAAAUCUAUAUCUUGAGUUCUACAGCUCCAAAUUGAAUGAAAUAAAUUUUGGUGUGCUCUAUAUUUCCAGAUCUACAGUUUGAUGUAAUUGCAUGUCAUGUUGGAGUAACUUUUCUGUGUGAAUAUAUUUUAUCCAUGAUUUUGUUAAACUUGGAAAAUGCAUAGUAAAUAAAAUAUGGCUCAGAAAAAUGUGAAACUUGAUUUGUUGGCUUUGCAUGUGUGUUUGCUCACUGGGAAAAUGUGGGUACAUAUUAUUUGAUGAAUAAAUGAAUUUAUGGUAAUUUAAAUGCUUGCAUGGCAGUGCUUUAUGAUUUUUAAUAAUUAAAUGGGUCAUGCAAGAAAUCUGGAAAAUUUUGUGGGUGUUUCUUAUGAUGUUAGACAAAUUGUAAAAAUAUGAAAUCUGUUGUUUGACACUUAUAUCACAGUAGAGUGAUUUUACUUACCUUAUCAAUUAAUCUUGUGAUUUUUGUGGCUCAAAAUAAGUAACCAAAAAAUUAUGAAAAAUUUACAGUAGACUUUAUGAUUAGCUAGUAGUCUCCUGUAAUUUUUCUAGAAUUUAUUGAUGAACAGAAUUGCAUGUGAUUUUAAUGAGCCUAGAAAUGAAUAAAGAAAAUUAUGAAUGGUUGCAUAUCUAGGUUGAAUGGAAUAAGUUGGGUUUGGUGUAUCUUUGAAGCAUCCUGUGGGUUACUGAUUGCAUUUGAAAAAUAAUUGUAAAAGAGAAUGCAAUAGAUGUUUAAUCCAAGUGCCUGUUCUUGGAUGAUGUUGCAUACCUUGUGAUGAGCAUGACCAAGUGUAUCAUCCAUGCAUCAUGACAUGGUCCUUUGGUACCUUCUCAUACAAGCAUCCAUUCGGGCAUCUCACACUCCACUCAUGAGCACACAUGCAUCAUACAGGCUCGCAGGAGAACGAGGUGGGACCCGAGGAGCCAGAGGAGACUCAGGAGCAGGAACCUCUGGAAGCACCGGAACCCGGAGAGGAACUGCAGGAGUGUCCGGAUCACCGACCCAGCACGUUUGAGAAAGGCAAGCCCCGGAGCAUUCUAAGUCUCCCUAUUCUCGCUAACUUAUGUGAUGCACUAUACUUGUUCUACUACUGCAUUUAAGCGGUAGGAGUUGCCUGAUACCGUUGCUGCAUAUGUACUCCUUGUUAUUCCUACUCGUUUAUCUACCUUGUCCUAUGUAGAUAGGCGCGGAGUCUAUGCUUAGCUUGCUUAGUCCGGUAGAAGUCGGGUGAUUUCCUGUCACCUGCGAGAUAUAGGUGGAUACCUGCUUGAUUAAGCUUUGGUUGCUUGGGAAAAGGAUGACCAAUUGUGGAAUGAAUUUGGAGACCGGGCAGGGUCUUAUGGUGGGUUGACCAUAGUGCCCCUGCCUGUGUCGAUUAAGGACCGAUCGUUGACGGCCCUCUUGUCAUGUUGAACGCAUGCCCCACACUUAGCUGGAAGGAUAAGUCGUUCCGACCGCGAAGCCUGAGCACUAUCCGGGCCGGGAAUCGGCCCGAUGUACGCGCUGUAUUGGUGAUGGUUGAGGAGAACGACGAGGGCGCGGCGCGCAACCUUGGUAUACCUUGGAUACCUCGGUCGCCGGAACGGUCCUCGGGUACGGGCGGUGCCUGUCGAACCCGCGAAUUGGUCCUGGAUAGUGCAACACGGUGACCUGUAGCUCACUUGAUCAGUGAGUGUGGUUUGUGUGGGGAAUAAAUUCGCCAGCUGGUUAGAAAUCGAUUCGAAUCGCCAUCGCUCCUGGAUAGUGAGCACUUGACAUGAGCUUCGUCCUCGUAGUAAGGACUAUGGAACACUUGGGUUAUAAUGAUGAAUGGUUUAAGAAAUGCUAUGAUGAGGUACUAUCAUAGUCUCAUACUUGCUUGUAAUAGCACAGGAGCAAACCUAGAUAAUAGGUAAUGAUACUUUCAACUUGAGCAGAUUAAAAGAAGAAAAGAUUUAUGUAGGUUAGGGUAAUAAAACCUUGCGGUCUUUGCAAAAUGGUUGUCAGCUACCCCACUAAAUAGACUUCAUGAUCCUUGAUGAGUCUUUAUUUUAAGUUUAUGACGGGUAAGUCUAGCUGAGUACCUUCUCGUACUCAGGGUUCUAUUCCCAUGUUGUUUUGCAGAUGGUCAAAUGUACUAUGGUUAUUGCAUCCUCUGUCUGUACCCAGCUAUGGGUGAUGACUAGACCAAGGGCGAUGGUCACUCCGUCUCUUCCUUUGCUUUUGUCGGAAUGACCGAACUAUGGCACUGUAUCAGACUUAUCGUGUGUGUUGUAAUUUCGAACUAUGAAGCUUCUGCUACUUGAAGAACUUGGUUUGUAAUAACUUAAGUACUCCGAUGUGUUUCAUGAAUGUUGUAAUCUGGAUGUACUUGUGGAUGGCGGCCGCUAAACUUAUUACGAUCUUGGCUGUAUGCGAUGUGUGGUUUGAAAUCCUUCGAGAUUUCACGGACUACCAGGAUUAUAUGGGCUUAAGCGUGAUGGUUUGACUAUGCAAAUGGUCACUAUUAGGCUUAAUCUCUUAUAAUUUGGUCGGUUCUGUUACAGAUUCCAGCGCUUGGGAACAACAAUCGCGCUGGAGGGCUUAGGGCAGGCCUGGCACCAGCAGGAGCAAGAAGAAAUGCAAGCUCGCCAAGAUCAGCUGCUGAAAUAGUCCCAAGACUUCUGGCGGUACAUGGGGUACAACCCCGAUCACUAGGCCAGAAGGUAGCUUGGGGGAGGACCCCCAAUCCCGAGGUUAUCUGCAUUGCAUAUUUAUUUUCAUGCAUCCUUAAUUUUAAAUUAGCAUGUUUACUUUAUGAAAUUUCCAUUAGUUAAAUUCAUGUUUUAAUUAUUGCAUAUAAAAAAAUGAAAAAUGCUAAAAAGAUAAAAAUAUAAUUCCACUCUUAUAUGUGAUGUAAGAUAUAUGCUUCUUCCUUGUUGAAAUGAUGAAUAGUUGCUCUAUCGUAAUUUCUUUCCGGUAUCUAGUUUCAACCUUGAAUUCACCAAAUUAAUAAAAUGAUUAAAUGCGUGGGUUGCAAAAUGCUCUAUCUAAAGUCUAAAGUAAUUAAUGGAUAUAUUUGUGAUGAUCUGAGCUGCUAGUAUCCUGUUCUAAACAACGCUAGAGUUCUGGAGUUUUUACAAAAAUAAAAUAAUCACAUUGAGUUAGAUUAAGCUUUGUUGACCCUUUGAGAGGUUGUCAUACCAUUGAAAAUAAAAAUAUUUCAUUAUGUUAUCAUCUCAAAAGUUUGUUAGAAGGCAUAUGGCUAUGAAAAAGAAAAAAAAGCAUCCGAGAAAAUAAAAAGGGACAUGUGUCCGAAACCUCAAAAAGAAAGAUCACGAGGAAAUAAAAAGGGAGAUGUGUCCGGAACCUCGAAAAUAAUAAUAAUAAAAAAAUAGGCAAGUGCCCAAUAGUAGAAUUAGCCACAUAGCCAUGUGUCUCUAAUAGACAAAAAGAGAAUGAUGGAAAAGAAAAAUUUUUAAAAAAUUCAAUGGUAUGAUUAACUUUCUCUUUGGAUCCAUUGUUUAAUUUGACAAAUAAAUGUGCUAAGUUUUUGAAAAUAAAAAAAAAACACCGGAACAAAAGUAAAGAACUGGGGACAUAGCGCUCGAUCUGAUCAAAUCCAUCCUGCAAAUGCUUAAGGACCCAAGGUAUGAGCAAUAAGCCCCAUGACAUAUCUGUUCAAAAUUCAAAGGAGAAUUCUUGUUUGAAGGUUUGUACUGGAUAGAAGUGAAAAUAUUGUAGCAACUCCUGAUCAACAACCAAGAUCUUAGCUUCUUGCUCGAGGACGAGCAAGGGGUAAGCUUGGGGGAGUUUAUUGGCAGUUCUUAAUGACAUAUUUACCCCGCCAACAUAGUCCAUGCAAAGGAAGAAAAGCAUGUAUUUUACUCACAUGUACUUAUUAAAUGCUUACCAAGUUCCACAUGUAGUGCAAGUUGUGUUUUGCAGAUCAUAUACAGGCAUACAGGUGGAAAGCAAAUAAAAAGGCGCAAUCCGACACGUCAAAAAAUGCGCAAAUAAACAAGUACCCAAAAGCCCAAUAUAGAAGUGCAUCAAUUUGCAGGUGGAUCUGGACUCAGGGGCCCAAGAGGAAGGCAACGGGCUUCGGGCCGGGGCCAGCGGGGCCCACCAGAGGGCGGCCGCCCCCUAGGGUCGGCCGACCCUGGCCCAGCCCAUCUCGGCACCGCCUUUUGUAGAGGCGGUGCUGAGCCUAUCCUCCCGUAGUCCCCGCGUGCAAAUUGCAGUUUACACCCUGGGGAACCGACCUUCCCCACCUAUUUAAGGAGGGGGAGAGGGAGGCUCCAUUCAUCUCAUCACAUUCACAAUCAACACUCCACCUUCAAGGCACUUGGGCACUACCUCUUCUUAGUUUUUCCUUUUAGCUUUUAGAGAGAGAGUUGGGUGAGCUAUCAAGGAGGGCUUGGCUCCUUGGAGAGAAACUUGGGUAUGAAUAAAGAAUAUCUUUACUCCAAGUCCAUGCCUUAUCAUGUCCGAUAAAGUUCUUCAUAUGAACUAGAGUAUAGUUCUUAUGCUAUGGUAUAUGACAUAGAUCAUAGGUCCUGUUUCAUGAUGCUAGCAUAUGAACUAGAAUAUAGUUCUAGUGAAAAUGAUAUGACAUACAUUUUAGUAUAUAGUUCUUAUAGUAUAAUGCUACCCUAGGGCUAGUAGUGUAUUAUAUGAACUAGUGCUAAGUGUAUGUUGUAUUAUUCUCACUUAGGACUUUAGUCUAAUUGCUUCAUGUUAAUUAAUUUCCUAGAAAUAGCUUUGUGUGAAGAUGGGGGUUUAUCAUGCUCUUUUGAGUAGGUUCGGGCUUCUUACCUGUCGAUCCGUAGGGUCGGGGACCCGGGGGAGUCCGAGUAGGUUCUUUGCAUGUAAGCAUGGUGCUUGGGUGUAAAGGCCGGGUAAAUGCAUUGUCCUAGUCCACGGUUGAGGGGAUGGCGGCAGGUGGUGACAGCCCUGUCAGUCCUUGGCAUUCCCCCACGUUCGGCUAGGGUGUAGGAGUCUAAAUAGUUGCGGAGGUUGCUGGCAGACCUGUACUCGCGUAACCUCCCAAACCAUCUAAACACAGGACUAGAUCUAAGUAGUAUAAUUACAUGAUUAACUUGUUCUAUGACAUGAUCUGUAUCUAGGACCGCACCUGCUCCAAUAGGUUGUUUGUUUAUUCUUUGAUUCAAUUCAUUCUUUUAGUCUCUUUUUAUUCCUUAGCCCAUAUGCCAUGCCUAGAUUGUGAUGGAUCACUAUUCUACAUAUAAAUGUUUAUCACCUGCUAUGACCUUUGAUUCCAUUAUUGCUAUCAUAAUUACUUUGAUCUAUGCUUAUCUUAGAAUCCUUAACAUAUUAAGCCUUCCUUAGAGCGAACCUAUAAAUACGACACUCGGUAAAUCCCCGGGUUGAAAUGCUACACGAAAAUUCCCGUCCGCUUGCGGUACUUAAACUCCAAACCUAAGGAACUAUCACCCCGGUAUAUACUUAACAUUGUUGCUAGACAUGCGCCGAGCUAGUGACUUGUUAAGGAAUACCAACAUGGCAAUCCUAGUGCCACUACCAUGAUUAAGAACUGGAACCCUACCCUAACGGUAAUAAGGCGCCGUUAUCGGGAAGGUAGAUCUAGCUUCCUAUUCAAGGUGGUGAUGCUACGGAUCUGCCAAUAUAACACUGCCAAUGUCAUUAUCAUGAGUAGAGCAGAACCCUAUUCUGGGUAGCGACGCUAAGAAACGCUAACAAGCAUUUCUAGCACGUUGCUUAGGAUAGAUUUAUACUCUAAUCUUGGUGAUUGCAUUAGUAAGUGUUAUCACGACAUUUCUGACAUCGUUGCUGAGGACGGAUUAAACCCUAUUCUUAGUGAUGACGUUAAGAAAUGCCAACAACCUCACCACCCGUCCUCACUGCACCUCAACCUAAUGAGGACCUGCUCCUUUACAUAGCAGCAACCAAUCGGGUUGUCUCCACGGCGAUGGUGGUUGAGCGGGACGAACCAGACCACGUCUACAAAGUCUAGAGGCCUGUUUACUUCAUAAGCGAAGUCCUAAACGAAUCCAAGACCAGGUAUCCUCAGAUACAAAAGCUAAUCUACACCAUCUUAAUCACCUCAAGGAAGCUGAAGCACUACUUCGACGACCAUCGGGUUUUAGUUACUACCAGUUUUCCUUUGGGGGACAUUUUGCGCAACAAGGACACAAACGGCAGAAUUGUAAAGUGGGUGAUGGAAUUAUGCCCAUUUUCUCUGGAUUUCUAGAGUCGCACUACCAACAAGUCCCAGGCCCUGGUCGACUUCAUCGCAGAAUGAACGGAUCUCAAUGAGCCCACCCCCUCCAGAUGCCUCCGACCACUGGUCAAUGUUCUUCGACGGAUCCUUGAACAUCAAUGGAGCCGGUGCCGGAAUACUUUUUGUUUCGCCAAACAAGGACAAACUCCGCUACGUCCUUAGGAUCCUCUUCCCGGCAUCCAACAACGUCACCGAAUACGAAGCAUGCUUGCAUGGCAUCCGAUUGGCUGUCGAACUGGGAGUUAAACGCCUUUAUGUCCACGGCGAUUCUGCCCUAGUCAUCAACCAGCUAAAUAAGGAGUGGGACACAACUCACGAGAAGAUGGACCUCUACUACAAAGAAAUCCGGAAGUGGGAAUCAAAUUUUUACGGCAUAGAAUACAUCCAUGUGGUCCGAGAAAAGAAUCAUGCAGCGGAUGCGCUGUCAACGAUAGGAUCAUCCCGGGCCUAGAUUCCCCAAGGCGUUUUCGUCCAGGACAUUCACACGCCAAGCGUCGGCACGGACCUGAUCGACAAGCCGUCUAACGAAACAAUGCUCAUAGACGACACCACUCCAACAACCACCAGCCACGACUGCGCACUCCUUUCAUCAAGUAUCUCUCGGACGGUUCGGGAUUUCAAGACAAAACGGAGAACGAACGCCUCAUCCGGCGAUCCAAAAAUUACAUACUGGUCAACGGCAAACUUAUGCGUAAGAAUACAGGUUCAGAAGUCUUGUUGAAAUGCAUAUCCCAAGACGAUGGCAUCAAUUUAUUGGAGGACAUACAUGCUGGAUCCUGCGGCAACCACGCCGCCUCUAGAACGCUGGUCAGAAAGGCUUUUCGAGGAGGUUUCUAUUGGCCAACUGCAGUCGUCGACGCCGAGAAACUGAUCCGGCAUUGUAAAGGAUGCCAGUUCUUUGCCAAGUGGACCUACGUACCUGCUCAUGAGAUCCAGACGAUUCCCUCAUCUUGGUCAUUUGCAUGUUGGGGUCUCGACAUGAUCGGGCCAUUCAAACCGGCCCCCGGCAACUUCAAAUUCGUGUUCGUGCUAAUCGACAAAUUCUCGAAGUGGAUCGAGUACGUGCCACUGGUCAAAGCAACUUCCGAGAAGGCUGUGGAGUUCCUCAAUCAAAUCAUACAUAGAUUCGGGGUUCCCAACAGCAUAAUCACUGACCUGGGCACUCAGUUCACCGGCACUACAUUCUGGGACUUCUGCGAUGAUAGAGGCAAUUCCCUUCUCUUCUACAAUUUGUUCUUAAGUGUAACCAGCAACUCACAAGAUGCUUCAAAGAUACACCAAACCCCUUUUAUUUUACUUAAUCUAUAUAUAACAAUUCAUAAUUUCUUUAUCCAUAUUUAGGCCUACCAAACUAGCAUGCAUUUUUGUUUAUCAAUAAAUUCCACAAAAAUUACAGUAGACUACCAGUCAAACAUAAAGUCUACCAUAAAUUUCCCAUAAUAUUUCGACACUUAUUUUGAGCUACAAAAAUCACAAGAUAAAUUCACAAAAGCAAGUAUAAAUACUCUACUCUAGUAUAAGUGUCAAACAGCAGAUUUCAUAUUUUUAUAAUUUGCUUAUUAUCCUAAGAAACACCCACAAAAAUUUCCAGAUUAAUUGCAUGAUCCAAUUAUUUAUUAAAAAUCAUAAACCACUGCCAUGCAAGCAUUUAAAUCACCAUAAAUUAAUUCACACAGCAAAUAAUGUGUAACAUAUUUUUCCUAGAGCCUAAUCUUCCAUGCAGAGCCAAUAAAACAAAUUUCAUAUUUUUCUGAGCUUUAUUUUAAUUACUAUGCAUUUUCCAAAUUCUGCAAAAACAUGGAUUAAAUAUGUUUGUAUAGAAAAGUUGUUCAAACAUGACAUGCAAACACACCAGGCUAUAGAUCUGAGAAUAAGGAACACACCAAAAUUUGUUUCACUAAUUUUGGAGCUAUACAACUCAAGAUAUGGAUUUUACAUCAUUUAAAUCAAUUUCUGGAAAACCUUUAUUUAAGAAAACCGACGGAAAACGUUAGAUUCACCCGGAUCCGCACCCGCAGAGACGCUGACAGGUGGGAUCCAGGGGUUGUGGCCCCACGGGUCAACCAUGCAGCACUCCGGCCAACUUCAGUCGGCCGGCUCUCGCCGACGGCGAGGUCUCCGGCCACGGGGUGAGCACCAGCAUGUUCCCCGCAGUGAGGCGCACCCAAGGGUGCCCUUGGAUCGGCCGGAGGGUGACCGGAGCACCCUCGACGAGCAUGCAUGGCGGCACGGCGGCGCUGCUCGCCGUGUCCAGGCCGCUCCGGUGCGGUAGAGCGCGCAUGAGUGCUCCUCCAAGCCUCCUCACCGAACUACGAACCUAACGCGCCCAAAAGCGAGCGAAAGGAGAUAGGGACUAGCGAGAUUCAACGCGGCAGAGCUCUCCGGCGAGGUCGGAGCAACUCCGGCGAGCGAUUCACGGCACACGACGGGCUCUCACCUCGGUAGAGCGUUCGCAGGGGCUUACCGCGGCGACGACGAGUGCGCUGGUGGUCUUGGCGUCGAGGUUGGGCACUGGCGUGGCCGGCGGUGAGCAGCGGAGCACUCCGGCGAUGGCGCUACGGCGGAGCUGCUACGGCUGCGACGCUCGCGAGCGAAAGAGGAAGAAGGAGAGAGGAGCGGGGCGACAGAGUGGAGCCUGGGGGCACGGGGCGGCCUUCCGACCAGGUUAUAGCCGGUCGGCCGCGGCGCGUCCAACGCCGGCGUAUGGCCGCCACGUGGCCGGCGUCGGGUGGAGCGAGGCGGCCGCCGCGCGCGGGAGAGAGAAGGGAGGGGAAGUGGACCACGCUGUCUGGCUGGGCCGAAAGGGAGGCGGGUCGGCCCAGCAGCGCCUGUCCCCUUUUUCUUUUUUUUUUGAAUUCCUUUUCUCCAAAAAGUUUAAAUGAGACUUUUGAGGCUUUUUCAAAUCUUUUUAUGGGUUGAGGUAAAAAUAAGAAUUGUUCCCCACAAAAUUCCCUACAACUUUGCUUUAAUAAGUGAAGCCAAAUUCCAAAUAGAAUUUGAAUCACAGGUUAAAACUAGUUCUAGGUUUUUAAAUAAAUUCAUUUUAGGGAUUUUUGUAUAAAUUCCAUUUCUCAAAUCCUAUGGCUCCAAAAAUAUCACAAAAUUACUCUUAAACCUUUUAACACACAAUUCAACCCAAUUUGAAUAUUUCACAAUUUUAGAAGCAAGCUUAAUAUUUUUAACCAUAUUUAAUUCACCUAAAUAAAGCACACAUAAAAUCACACUUGAAUUAUUAUUAUGCUCAUGGGAUGUGAUGCUUAUGCCAUGCUUGAUGAGAAUGCUUAUGAAUGUUUUAUGAGACUAAAUGCAUGCUUAAGACCUAGGGUGUUACAAGUGAUGUAUAGAGAAGACUGCAACCGUAGUCUCGUUCUAUGCCCUGGUAAGGAUGAUCUAGUGUUCUAUUGGGGAAGCUUACGGAAUCUAGACACCACAAAGGAUGUUCGACCCGCACCUAUAAACCUUCCCGUCCUGCUAACGAGAUGUGGGAUGCAAAGGUAACUCGGAAAUGUCACGUUCCUCGCUACUACCACGGUCCAGCUAGUCAGGGGAUAUCUAUGAGUACGCCAGCCUAAACACCACGUUUACGCUAGCAAUGAUUACUCUAAUACUCAACCGGAAGAGAUUAAAGUAAACUCAUAAACCAAAGAAUAAUAAAACAAGAACUUACUAGAAUUAGAAGUCGAAUUACUGAAUAAUCCUAGGAGCAAGCCUCGGGUUAGAAGACUUGAUCCCACAGGUACAACCUCGAAGUUGACACCAACAGGCCAGGCUUCCUCCCAUCUACACCUCCACUCUAUCUCUCUCAAUCUAGUAGAAACUAGAAGAUCUACUUGUACACACAUUGGAUGCUAAGCCUAAAAGAAAUUUUAUUUAGAGGAGAGGUAUUCCUUCGAGGGCUCCUCUCAACUCUAUGAUGAACUUGUCUCCUCCAGGGGCCUGGGGGUCUGGUUUUAUAGUCCCCUCAAGUGAACGUGGGCCAUUGGAUCAAACCGACAACGAUUGAACGGUUAUCCUUUAUCCUUUAGGUCGGUGGAGAUUGAUCCCGAAAGAGAGUCCUGAUCCAACUCUGUGAGGGGGCGGGCGCCCGGGUCAACUGGGCGGCCGCCCAGUGCCUGGCCCCGUUCGGCCUCCGCUUCCUUCCCGUGGGUUCUGGAGUCUUCUAGAUGUAAGAUAAUUGCGCGGCACGUUAAUAUCUCUAUGUAAACCCGAUGUGUGGGCCUUUCUUCCGUAUUUUCUGAUAACCCCCUACAGAAAUAGACAAACACCAAAACACAUGGAAUUCUGUCAGAUAAAACCCUAAGUCUAGGUUUUGGUUGCAUUUGGAUCCUUUUCUUUAUUUAUUUGAUGAUUAUAUUUGGUACUUAAGGACCGUCAACAACUCCCCCAAGCUUACCUCUUGCUCGUCCCUGAGCAAGGACGAACUCAAGAAUUUCUAUAGUGGUUUCAUUCCUUAAAAGUACACAUGCAUUCAAACAAGAUCUCAUGUAUGAGUUAGAAUAAACUGUUAAGACUUAAAACUUACUCAUUUUACCUUUCACCAUGGGGCUUGUAACCAUCACUUGUGUCUUGAGCAGUUAAAAGAUAGAACGGUCUAGUCAAGCGCCAUGUCUCGUAUUCUUGAUCAGCUAAAGCUCUGGAGUUUUUGCAUAUUUUCAUAUAAAACUCAGAGAUUCCCUAGAUGAUUCUCUCAAAUCUCUCUUUUGUGGUAUUUCUGGAUCCUUUCCAAGGCAGUAAUGGUAUAUGUCUUCUCUCAAAGUAUGUGGUAUUUUUGGUAUGAGGCAUAGUGAUAUUGCCUUCUCUCUCACCCUACUCUAAUAAGGUUUUUAUAUCUAGAGCUCAUAGGUGGGAGACAGCUAAUACAUACUUACAAGAUAUUUAUUGCAUAGUCAAACCAUGGAUCCAGAGAGACAAGUCAUUAAGUCAAAUUAAGAUGUGCAUGUGUGGCGAGUGAAUGGUGUAUGGUGAUGAUGGUGAUAACAAUGUUGAUAGUCUAAUUCUACUUUUGCUCUUUUUAGGGGAUACAUACCUUUCUUGCACUUUGAAGCUUCUCAAGGAGAAUGAGAUGCUCUAUAUUUUUUUCUCUUUUUCUCUCAGGUGGGUAUCUUGUACCCCUAAUUCUACUGUCGGACACUUGUCCAUUUUAACCUCUCGUCUCACUUUUUCUUUCCUUUCGAGGUUCCGGGCACUUGCCCCUUUUUAUUUCCUCGUAUUCUUUUUUUCUUUUCUUCUUCUUUUUUUUUCAGAGCACUCACCCUCCUAGAAUGUAGCAAGUGGUAGUAACCAAAAUAUCUGGAGCAUUUAUUUCACAGGGAAUAACAAGGAUAGGAAAAUAUUUUUGGCUAUUCUCUCCUAGAUUAGGAGUAGAAUAAUUUUGGGUGAAUCUGAAGAUAGAAAUGAGUGGAUAUAUGUGGAUGCGUACUUCCGAAGUAGAAGUAGCAUGUGUGAACGUGCAAGUGAAUCUUGAUUUUAACCACAUGACAAGCUCCUAAGGGUCUACACAGCUUGACCACACUCAACGCUCAUAAGCAGUAAAAAGUAAAUGUGUGGCUCAAAGUCUAAUAAGCAUGUAUAUAUGGCUGUGGUAGGAUUUUAAACUCUCAUCAUAUAGGAACUCAUCAUGUGUUAUUUUAAAUAUUUUUAAAGAUAAAAUUCUCUAGAAUUCUAGCAUCUCUAGGAACAGAUAAACAACAUCUCAACCUUCCCAUAUCAUAUCCGUUAACGACUUAGACUUUAGAUCAAGUACUCUUCCCACAAGUUCAGGUUUAGAGCAAAUCUUAAUUCAUAACAGUCAUGCCUAAACUUGAGAGAGAGCUCAAACUUGAAAACUAGGUAUAUGGCAGAGCAACUAUUUAUCAUAACCAUGUAAGAGUUUAUCAUUUAAGUUCAGUUUAGCCUAGACACUUUAUUUAUUUAAUUAUUUAGCAAACUAAGCAAAGAUAUCAGCAUAAUUUUUUUUACUUG
This 55435-nucleotide long non-coding RNA is filed under the name Sorghum bicolor (sorghum). Its description in RNAcentral is "long non-coding RNA (SBIC_LNC014308)". The record is from RNAcentral. Lineage: Eukaryota; Viridiplantae; Streptophyta; Magnoliopsida; Poales; Poaceae.